UUACUUUUCAUGCUGUAGUAGUAAUAAUUAAAAGAAAACCCAAAAAGAUUUCCUGUUCUUCUUUUGUUUGUUGGGAGCUUUCCUGUGCAAAUAGUUUUAUUUCUUUUCUUUUCUUUGGGGGUCGAUAGGAGAAGACCAUAAUGAAAAUGUUGAAGUGGCUCUUAUAUACAUUAUUGUUGAUUUAACCAAGAGCCCAUAUUACCUUGUCUUCUCCUUUGUAUUGAAUGCCUGCAGAUUCCAGCUUAGUUCAAUGCAUGUGCACUAUUAUUAUUAUACACAUCGUUCCGUCGAGCAAGUGAAAGACAAUUAUGACGAUAUAUGAUGGACUGAUUGAGAUGAGAGAAGCUGGUAUGAACUCGACCUCUCUUGUUUUUGUAAAUAUGAUUAGUUCAUCGUUCCUGAUUCAGCCUAUUAUGAAUAAACAUGUUUGCAAUGACAAUUAGAGAUUAUAGUUGCUUAUGCCAUGCUUAAUUAGCUAGGAGUUUAUAAUGGUUUAUCUUGCGUGCCAAUAUGCUAUUAAAAUGGUUGUGAUGUGGUUUAGUGAGGUGGUAUCCUCCUUUGAAUGAUUCGAGUGGCUAGACUUGGCACAUGUUCACGCAUGUAGUUGAAACAAAAUCAACAUAGCCUCCACAAUAUUUAUGUUCAUGGUGGAUUAUAUCCUACUCAUGCUUGCACUCAAUGUUUAUUAAUUUUAAUGCAUGUUCAAGACUGUUGUCGCUCUCUAGCUGGUCGCUUCCCAGUCUUUUACUAGCCUUCACUUGUACUAAGCGGGAAUACUGCUUGUGCAUCCAAUUCCUUAAAACCCCAAAGUUAUUCCAUUUGAGUCCAUCAUACCUUCCUAUAUGCGGUAUCUACCUGCCGUUCCAAGAAAAUUUGUAUGUGCCAAACUCUAAACCUUCAAAUAAAAUUCUGUUUUGUAUGCUCGAAUAGCUCAUGUAUCAACUAGGGCUGUCUGUAUCUUCCAUGCUAGGCGGGUUAUUCUCAAGAGGAGUGGACUCCGCUCCUCACUCACGAGAAAAAGGCCGGUCACCGAGAUGCCCAGUCCCAGGCUUUAAGAAAAUCAAAUCAAAAUAAUUGCAAACAAAACUCCCCCAGGAUUGUUGUUAGUUGGACGGUACCCAUUGUUUCGGACCAGCCGUGGAGUGCGCUUGUUGGAGGAGGGGGAGUAUAAACUUUACCAUUCUGUUUGGGAACCGCCUAUAUUGUGUGUAGCAUGGAACAUAUCGAGAUCUCUCGAUUGUUAUGUUGACAAUGAAAGUAUGGCGCUCAACAUAUUAUUUAUCUCUAUUUCAAAAAAUCGAGCUCUGGCACCUCUACAAAUCCCUGCUUCCCUCUGCGAAGGGCCUAUCCAUUUACUUUUAUGUUGAGUCAUCAUCCUCUUAUUAAAAAGCACCAGCUGGAGAGCACUACAGUCAUUUGCAUCCAUCACUAUUAAUUUAUAUUGAGUAUGACUAUGACUGGAUCUCUCUUACCAUGAAUUACAAUGUUUAGUCAGUCCUUGAUCUUUAAAGGUGCUCUGCAUUUAUGUUUUGCGGUCUCAGAAAGGGCUAGCGAGAUACCAUCUUGUUAUAUCAUAUUAUGAUUGUUUGAAGAAAGUGUUGUCAUCCGAGAUUUAUUAUUAUUGCUCGCUAGUUGAUUAUGCCAUUGAUAUGAGUAAACAUGAGACCUGAGUGUUAUUGUGAAUACGGUUAGUCAUAAUCUUUGCUGAAAACUUGAAUGCUGGCUUUACAUAUUUACAACAACAAGAGCAAACAGAGUUUGUAAAAGUUUUUCUUUAUCACUUUCAGUUUAUCAACUGAAUUGCUUGAGGACAAGCAAAGGUUUAAGCUUGGGGGAGUUGAUACAUCUCCAUCGUACCUACUUUUCCAAACACUUUUGCCCUUGUUUUGGACUCUAACUUGCAUGAUUUGAAUGGAACUAACCCAGACUGACGCUGUUUUCAGCAAAAUUGCCAUGGUGUUAUUUUUGUGCAGAACCAAAAGCUCUCGGAAUGACCUAAAACUUCAUGGGGAUUAUUCUUGGAAACAAUAAAAAAUACUAGCGAAAGAAUCAAGGCCAGGGGGCCCACACCAUGUCCACGAGGGUGGGGGCGCGCCCCCUGCCUCGUGGGCCCCUUGGUGCUCUACCGACGUCAACUCUAACUCCAUAUAUUCACUUUCGGGGAGAAAAAAACAGAGAGAAGGAUUCAUCGCGUUUUACGAUACAGAGCCGCCGCCAAGCCCUAAACUCUCUCGGGAGGGCUGAUCUGGAGUCUGUUCGGGGCUCCGGAGAGGGGAAUCCGUCGCCAUCGUCAUCAUCAACCAUCCUCCAUCACCAAUUUCAUGAUGCUCACCGCCGUGCGUGAGUAAUUCCAUCAUAGGCAUGCUUGACGAUGAUGGGUUGGAUGAGAUUUAUCAUGUAAUCGAGUUAGUUAUGUUAGGGUUUGAUCCCUAGUAUCCACUAUGUUCUAAGAUUGAUGUUGCUAUGACUUUGCUAUGCUUAAUUCUUGUCACUAGGGCCCGAGUGCCAUGAUUUCAGAUCUGAACCUAUUAUGUUUUCAUGAAUAUAUGUGAGUUCUUGAUCAUAUCUUGCAAGUCUAUAGUCACCUACUAUGUGUUAUGAUCCGGCAACCCUGAAGUGAUAAUAAUCGGGACCACUCCCGGUGAUGACCGUAGUUUGAGGAGUUCACGUAUUCACUAAGUGUUAAUGCUUUGGUCCGGCACUCUAUUAAAAGGAGGCCUUAAUAUCCCUCAGUUUCCACUAGGACCCCGCUGCCACGGGAGUGUAGGACAAAAGAUGUCAUGCAAGUUCUUUCCCAUAAGCACGUAUGACUAUAUUCGGAAUACAUGCCUACAUUAUAUUGAUGAAUUGGAGCUAGUUCUGUGUCACCCUAUGUUAUAACUGUUGCAUGAAUAAUCGCAUCCGGCAUAAUUCUCCGAUCCAAUGCCUACGAGCUUUUCAUAUAUUGUUCUUCGUUUAUUUACUUUUCCGUUACCACUGUUACAAUCACUAUAAAACUUUCACUGUUACUUUUGCCACCGUUACUGUUACUAUCAUACUACUUUGCUACUAAAUACUUUGCUGCAGAUAUUAAGUUAUCCAGGUGUGGUUGAAUUGACAACUCAACUGCUAAUACUUGAGAAUAUUCUUUGGCUCCCCUUGUGUCGAAUCAAUAAAUUUGGGUUGAAUACUCUACCCUCGAAAACUGUUGCGAUCCCCUAUACUUGUGGGUUAUCAAGUGUCGCGGCGAGCUUCUCCUCACAAGCGGCAAGAUCCUCCUCUUGGGAGUUCAGUUCGGCCUAGUGCUGGUGCCGGGCGGCCUCGUCCUUGACGGCCUGUUCCCUCGCUGCCUCCUGGGUCUUCUCGAUGCCGGCCUACUUCAUGACGAGCUCCGGCUUGCGUUCGGCCAGCAGGUCCUGGGCAACCUUCAGCUCCUGAUGGGCUUGGCGAAACCAAGCCUGCAUCUCGGCGAAGCGCUCCUCGAGGUCCGCCUCCGCCUUGUCCACCGCCGCCAUCCUGGACUUGGCCUUGUCCAGGCGGGCACGGUGAAGCGCCUGGAGCUUCUGGAAGUUGGCGCUCAUGGCCUGGAGGAGCCUCUCUUCCUAGGAACCGCCGCCACCGGUGCUCGGUUCGUCAACAACCUCAAGCCCGGCGACGGCGAGCACCUCGUCAUCAAACACCUCCCCCUCGGUGGGCACCCUGGUGCUUGCCGUCCCUGGGAGGUGGACGAACAGGUCGUCGCUCACCUUCAGGUACUUGCCUGAGCCGGAGGCAGCGGAGGAGGAAGGUUGGUCGUCAACCUCCCCCUCCUCGGUAGCGCCGUUGCCGGCCUCCCCGGCAGGCCCCUUGCCGGCCUCCUUGUCGGGCCCCUUGGCGGCAUCCUCAGUAGCGGUCUUGGCAGCCUCCUCGGCGGCGAUCUUGUCGGCCUCGGCCUCGGCGUCCCUGGCGACUACUUUGAUGACGAUGUCGAUGUCCUCCCGGUCCACCGAGGAAGGGCCUGGACACCAAGAAAGGGAAUGAGGCGGAGCGAAGGUCAAGGCCCAAGAAGAAGAAGGAAGAACAGGGAUGGGAAGUGGGCAAAAUUACCUGCACCAUGCUGGGAAGAAGUGGUGCCCUCCCUCGUUGCCGGGGUGGAACCACCGGCGCCCAAGUUCGUCUCCUCUUCCUCCUCCAUGGGCGUGGGCUCGGUGGUGGAUGCCCUUGCCGGGGACGCCCCUCGGGGCGGUGUAGUCGAGGGGAGCGGCAUAUUGGGGGUAGCCCUUGGCGGCUCCUCCGGCUGCCAUUCUUCUCCUGCAAACCCGGCAAGAUCAACAUCAAAGAUUCACACCCCAAAGUUCAUCAAUGGAGGAGUCCGUGACGGACUCACAUUGGGGGCUGAAGCGGGGGCUGGGUCGAGGGCUGCUCUCUACCACUAGCGGCGUACUCAAAGUACCCGCCGGGGGCUUGUCGCCAUCGAGGCCUCGGCCCUCUCCGCCACCCUCUGCGCCAGCGUCUCCGUGUCCCUAUGAAGACAAUAUCAGGUCAACGAAGGAUGACACAGGAGUAAAGUCAGAGGGUAAUGUGGGGGGGGGGGAUGCUUACUCUUCCUCCAUGUCCUCCUCCACUGGCUUCCUCUUCCUCCUUGGGCUGAUAGACCCAAAAUCGAAGAUGACCUCCGUGUCGACAUCUGCAGGAGGAGGGGAAGGAGAUGGGGUCCGGUGGCGCUUGGACAAAGAAGAGGCAGUCGCCCUCUUCUUCGCCACCGGGGCCUUCACCGCCUUCUUCGCCGCCGCGACCCUCGUCAGGCGCACGAACUGCUCCUGAACCUGUUGCCACUGCGCGGUCCUGCCGGGCUGGACCGGCUCGGCAGAGCCAGCCCGACACAGGACACAUCUUUUUCCCGCGGCCGGAGGAUCGACGGCCUCGGCCUCUUCCUCGGUCGACUCCUCGUCCACAUCUUCAACUAGGGGGGCCUCGGCGUUGGCACCGCUGGCCUCCUCGGCAGACUCCACCCACUGGGCGAGCUCUUUUUCCUCCGCGGCCCAGUCGGCCUCGUCCUCCACGUGGCUAGUGCUGCCGGCCUCCCGGGAAAGUGCCGCCUCCGCCGCCCUGGCGGCAAUAUAAAUCCAGCUCCUCUUUGGUGGUGUCUUGAAUGAGCAGUGGCUCUUCACGGAUAUACUUCUCUGACAGAUUGUCGAAGAACUACUACACCCGCUCCGCCUCCAGCUCGGCCCAACUAGGGUCCAGGCCAUGCGCGUUGAAGUCCGGCAUCAUGGCGAUGAUGUCGGUUUGGCGAGAAUUGUUGCUCAGCGGGACCACUCCCGCCGGCAACCCAAACAAAGGCCCUUUGACGGCCUUGCCGGCCUUGUCGCUCCUCUCCACCCUGCCGUCGCGGUUCACGUCAAGCUGAAAAAGCCUCGGGCAGAAAUGGACGUGCCCCAUCACCGUGAAGUUGUGCUUCAGGCCAGGGCGAAGCCUCAUCAUGUCAGCCGCGUUCUGGAAAAGCCAAGCCGGCCUCCCCUUGUUGUGCAGUGGGGUGAUUCGGCGUCGGAUGAAAUCUGCCCCAAUCAUCUCAAGGGUGAGCCCGGCCUCGGCAAGACGGUGAAUCCUGGUGGUGGCGAUUGUGAGCUUCUCGUCGUCGACAUCGACGUCACUCCAAUCCUUACAACGGACCGACGGACUCUGGCGAACUUGGCAGAACUCCUGCGGACCUUUCUCCUCGAUCCAUAACCACCGGCUCCGCCACUCCUCCCACCUCUCCUUCUCGGCGCCCUCCGGAUACAUCCCCUUCUCCUGGGUGCGUGGGAUCCAGGUGACGCACCCGGAGAUGGCGCCCCCCGCCUGGAUGCGGGGAUAGAAGUAGUGGCGGAAGAGCGCCGUGCUGGGGAGCACGCCGGCGAAGCCCUCGCAGAGAUGAGCGAAGAAAGCCAUGCACGCCACCGCAUUUGGCGUGAAAUGAAGGAGAUAGAAGCCAUAGGUGUGCAUGACAUCGUUGAAGAAAUUGGAAAAAGGAGGGCAGAGCCCGCAGGAGAAGUAGUCAAUGAAGAAGGGGUACCGAUUCGGGCCGGCCUUGGCAAAAGCGGCAGGGAUGAUGUGCGUGGCCAGAUGGCCCGUCGUCUUCCUCCCCCACAAAGGCCUGAAGUAAUCCCUGAGGUGGAUUGCAUCGACCAUCGGGGGAAAGUAGGCAAGCUGCGUCCGGAACACCGCCAGCUCGCUCUCCGGCACGCCCUUCUCCCCGAGGUCCUCCGCCACUCCCUUGCCUCUGCUGGACUUGGGCGCCAUGGCGACUAGGGAGGAGGUGAGGUUGAGGGCCACCAGGGCGCGGCGGCGGCGGACAGAGGAGGGAGCUUCGAAUCUUUCGCCCGAGGAAGAAGAGAGGAACGGCGGUUCUGAGAUUGGAAGAAGCACAAAGGGUUAAUGAGCGGCGUGCCUGUGCUUAUUCCUUUUUAUGGGGAAGCCGCGGGCCGCCACUUUACCAUUUACUGCGAUGUGACGCAUGAGGGCAGGAACCGCCCCAUGCAUGACCCCCACGUCACGCACGACCCUCCACAUCACGCAUUCAACGCGGGUCAUGGGGAAGCGCGACGGGCGAGGGAAUUACCGCAGUAAAACUUCGCUCCGCUUGCCCGCGCACCGUUCUGGGCCUAGCCCAACAACGCAUUGCGCUUAUGUGUGGCCCAGGCCUGGGGGCUCUUGUCGGUGUACAAAAGUAGGGGCUCUCCUUUUUACCCCUUUACUUGUGCACUGAUACGUCUCCAACGUAUCUAUAAUUUUUGAUUGUUCCAUGCUAUUAUAUUAUCUGUUUUGGAUGUUUAAUGGGCUUUAUUAUACACUUUUAUAUUAUUUUUGGGACUAACCUAUUAACCGAAGGCCCAAUGCAAAUUGCUGUUUUUUUGCCUAUUUCAGUGUUUCGUAGAAAAGGAAUAUCAAACGGAAUCCAAACGGAAUGAAACCUUCGGGAGAGUGAUUUUUGGAACAAACGUGAUCCAGGAGACUUGGAGUGGACGUCAAGAAAGAAGCGAGGAGGCCAUGAGGCAGGGAGGCGCGCCUGCCCCCCUAGGCACGCCCCCACCCUCGUGGGCCCCUCGCAGCUCCACCGACCUACUUCUUCCUCCUAUAUAUACCCAUAUACCCCGAAAACAUCAUGGAGCACCAUGAAACCCUAUUUCCACCGCCGCAACCUUCUGUACCCGUGAGAUCCCAUCUUGGGGCCUUUUCCGGCGCUCCGCCAGAGGGGGAAUCGAUCACGGAGGGCUUCUACAUCAACACCAUAGCCUCUCCGAUGAUGUGUGAGUAGUUUACCACAGACCUUCGGGUCCAUAGUUAUUAGCUAUAUGGCUUCUUCUCUCUCUUUGGAUCUCAAUACAAAGUUCUCCUUGAUUCUCUUGGAGAUCUAUUCGAUGUAAUUCUUUUUGCGGUGUGUUUGUCGAGAUCCGAUGAAUUGUGGGUUUAUGAUCAAGAUUAUCUAUGAACAAUAUUUGAAUCUCCUCUGAAUUCUUUUAUGUAUGAUUUGUUAUCUUUGCAAGUCUCUUCGAAUUAUCAGUUUGGUUUGGCCUACUAGAUUGAUCUUUCUUGCAAUGGGAGAAGUGCUUAGCUUUGGGUUCAAUCUUGCCGUGUCAUUUCCCAGUGACAGCAGGGGCAGCAAGGCACGUAUUGUAUUGUUGCCAUCGAGGAUAAAAAGAUGGGGUUUAUAUCAUAUUGCUUGAGUUUAUCCCUCUACAUCAUGUCAUCUUGCUUAAUGCGUUACUCUGUUCUUAUGAACUUAAUACUCUAGAUGCAUGCUGGAUAGCGGUCGAUGUGUGGAGUAAUAGUAGUAGAUGUAGAAUCGUUUCGGUCUACUUGUCGCGGACGUGAUGCCUAUAUACAUGAUCAUCCAUAGAUAUUCUCAUAACUAUGCACUUUUCUAUCAAUUGCUCGACAGUAAUUUGUUCACCCACCGUAAUACUUAUGCUAUCUUGAGAGAAGCCACUAGUGAAACCUAUGGCCCCCGGGUCUAUUUUCCAUCAUAUAAGUUUCCAAUCUAUUUUGCAAUCUUUACUUUCCAAUCUAUAUCAUAAAAAAUACCAAAAUAUUUAUCUUAUUAUCUCUAUCAGAUCUCACUUUUGCAAGCGGCCGCGAAGGGAUUGACAACCCCUUUAUUGCGUUAGUUGCAAGGUUCUUAUUUGUUUGUGCAGGUACAAGGCGACUUGUGCGUAACCUCCUACUGGAUUGAUACCUUGGUUCCCAAAACUAAGGGAAAUACUUACGCUACUUUGCUACAUCACCCUUUCCUCUUCAAGGGAAAAAUCAACGCAGUGCUCAAGAGGUAGCAUGCACGGGAUGUCAGAGCCGCGCCCGCGGCCACACUAACCAGGGCAGAGGAGGGAAGCCAAAGGUGCAAGACGAGCGAAGCAACGCCAAGACCAGAGGCGCAAAGAGCAGAGGGGCGAGGUGGGCUCCCCCGGCAAGGCCCUUGCCGGGGCAACUUGCCUAACGUCAGCAGAGCGCGCCACCCUUGAGCCCAAGGGUUCCAACACCAUCGACCACAUUGGAACCAAGGCUCGGGAGGCACCUCCAUGGUGGCAUGUAGAUCUUUGUGAAGACCAUGAGCACACAAGAUCAGAUGAGGACCAGAAGACGAUGAUCCUCGGCGAGAUCCUUGCCGAGGAAAUCCACGAGACCCCCGGCAAGAUCCCUGCCGGGGAUGACCGCGAUGCCACGGCAAGACCCUUGCCGACGCCCCAGCAAGACCCUUGCCGAGGACACCUGCGGGGCCACGGCCAGGCCCACGUCUGCCAAGACUCCACCGCCGUUCCCAUACAGCUGCCAGCCCAACCAGCUGGGCAGGCACCUGCGUGGCGACGCGCGGCCUCCAGGCCAACUCAGCAAGCACCUGCGUGGUGGCAUGCAGAUCUUCGUGAAGACUCUGCCACCGCGCCAGCCCAGCAGCCAGCCAACAUGGCGCUAUAAUGCCUCAUCAGCUCGGACGCGCGUCGGAGCCAGGCGAGGCGGCGACAGCUGGGACGAGCUUCCUCGCCGUCCCCGAUAAAGCAAGAAGGGCAUGUCGGCAGCGCAUUAAAUGCAUUUGUCCGUCGGUGCCAGAUGAUAAGCUUAACUACUGUAUACCUUUCCACCUCCUGUGUGCCCCUGUGGCGACCCCUUUUAACUAUAAAAGGAGGCCCGAGGCGUACUGGAGAAGGAUUCAGAUCUUUUGGACUACACACGCACCGUAGCUAGUUCGAGAGCUUAAGAACACUCACAUAUACAUCAAAGCAGGACCAGGGUAUUACGCAUCUCCGUGGCCCGAACCUGGGUAAAUGAUCCUUGUGCUGACUACCAGACCCACACUUUGCACAACCCCGUGCCCUCUAACCGGAGAAGGAAUGCCAGUGAUCCCAUAGGUGUCGUUUCCACCGACACCAACCAUGAAACUAGUAAUGCAGAAAAUGAGCACAAGUUUACGGACGAUGCUUAUGGGAAAAAAUAGAUUGAUAAUGGAGGUUGACGAGGAGUAAAAAAAGUGUAUUUCAUCAACACAGUUGGUGAUUAGGCAAUGAGGAAAGCCUCAACAAUAUUAAUAUAAUGAGGAAUGCCAUAAGAAGUUUAGGCCUUGUAACUAGGAUACACAUACAACUAUGAACAUGUGCUAGUAUGAGAGAUGGUGCUAGUGAACCUAUGAAUCUCGAUCCAAUUUCCUACAUACAAAAUCUUCUACAAUCUCAUUUAUAUGAAGAUUUAUUUUCAACCAUUUGUUAUUCGAGAAAACUUCAUUAUCUACUGAUAACCCACAAGUAUAGUGGAUCGCAACAGUUUUCGAGGGUACAGUAUUCAACCCAAAUUUAUUGAUUCGACACAAGGGGAUCCAAAGAAUAUUCUCAAGUAUUUGCAGUUGAGUUGUCAAUUCAACGACACCUGGAUAACUUAGUAUCUGCAGCAAAGUAUUUAGUAGCAAAGUAAUAUGAUAGUAACGGUAACAGUGGCAAAGGUAACAGUGACAACUUUGUAGUGAUUGUAACAGCAGCAACGGUAAAGUAACUAAGCGAAGAACAAUAUGUGAAAAGCUCGUGGACAUUGGAUCGGUGAUGGAGAAUUAUGCCGGAUGCGAUUAUUCAUGCAAUAGUUAUAACAUAGGGUGACACAGAACUAGCUCCAAUUCAUUAAUGUAAUGUAGGCAUGUAUUCCGAAUAUAGUCAUACGUGCUUAUGGAAAAGAACUUGCAUGACAUCUUUUGUCCUACCCUCCCAUGGCAAUGGGGUCCUAGUGGAAACUAAGGGAUAUUAAGGCCUCCUUUUAAUAGAGUACCGGACCAAAGAAUUAACACAUAGUGAAUACAUGAAGUCCUCAAACUACGGUCAUCACCGGGAGUGGUCCCGAUUAUUGUCACUUCGGGGUUGCCGGAUCAUAACACAUACUAGGUGACUAUAGACUUGCAAGAUAGGAUCAAGAACUCACAUAUAUUCAUGAAAACAUAAUAGGUUCAGAUCUGAAAUCAUGGCACUCGGGCCCUAGUGAUAAGCAGUAAGCAUAACAAAGUCAUAGCAACAUCAAUCUCAGAACAUAGUGGAUACUAGGGAUCAAACCCUAACAAAACUAACUCGAUUACAUGAUAAAUCUCAUCCAACCCAUCACCGUCCAGCAAGCCUACGAUGGAAUUACUCACGCACGGCGGUGAGCAUCAUGAAAUUGGUGAUGGAGGAUGGUUGAUGAUGACGAUGGCGACGGAUUCCCCUCUCCGGAGCCCCGAACGGACUCCAGAUUAGCCCUCCUGAGAGAGUUUAGGGCUUGGCGGCGGCUCCGUAUCGUAAAACGCAAUGAAUCCUUCUCUCUGAUUUUUUUCUCCCCAAACGUGAAUAUAUAGAGUUGGAGUUGAGGUCGGUGGAGCACCAGGGGGCCCACGAGGCAGGGGGCGCGCCCAGGGGGGCAGGUUUGCCUCCCACCCUCGUGGACAUGGUGUGGGCCCCCUGGCCUUGAUUCUUUCGAUAGUAUUUUUUAUUAUUUCCAAAAAUAAUCUUCGUGAAGUUUCAGGUCAUUCCGAGAACUUUUGUUUCUGCACUAAAAUAACACCAUGGCAAUUCUGCUGAAAACAACGUCAGUCUGGGUUAGUUCCAUUCAAAUCAUGCAAGUUAGAGUCCAAAACAAGGGAAAAAGUUUUUGGAAAAGUAGAUAAGACGGAGACGUAUCAACUCCCCCAAGCUUAAACCUUUGCUUGUCCUCAAGCAAUUCAAUUGAUAAACUAAAAGUGAUAAAGAAAAACUUUUACAAACUCUGUUUGCUCUUGUUGUUGUAAAUAUGUAAAGCCAGCAUUCAAGUUUUCAGCAAAGAUUAUGACUAACCAUAUUCACAAUAACACUUAGGUCUCAUGUUUACUCAUGUCAAUGGCAUAAUCAACUAGCGAACAAUAAUAAUAAAUCUCGGAUGACAACACUUUCUCAAAACAAUCAUGAUAUGAUAUAACAAGAUGGUAUCUCGCUAGCCCUUUCUGAGACCGCAAAACAUAAAUGCGGAUCACCUUUAAAGAUCAAUGACCGACUAAACAUUGAAAUUCAUGGUAAAAGAGAUCCAGUCAUAGUCAUACUCAAUAUAAACUAAUAGUAAUGGAUGCAAAUGACAGCGGUGCUCUCCAGCUGGUGCUUUUUAAUAAGAGGGUGAUGACUCAACAUAAAGGUAAAUAGAUAGGCCCUUCGCAGAGGGAAGCAGGGAUUUGUAGAGGUGCCAGAGCUCGAUUUUUGAAAUAGAGAUAAAUAAUAUUUUGAGUGGUAUACUUUCAUUGUCAACAUAACAAACGAGAGAUCUUGAUAUCUUCCAUGCGACUCACAUUAUAGGCGGUUCCCAAACAGAAUGGUAAAAUUUAUACUCCCCCUCCACCAACAAGCAUCAAUCCAUGGCUUGCUCGAAACAACGAGUGACUCCAACUAAGAAGAGUCCCGGGGGAGUUUUGUUUGCAAUUAUUUUGAUUUGAUUUGCAUAAAUCAUGGGACUGGGCAUCCCGGUGACCAGCCAUUUUCCCGGUGACCAGCCAUUUCCUCUUGAGAUACAGACAUCCCUAGUUGAUACAUGAGCUAUUCGAGCAUACAAAAAACAGAAUUUCAUUUGAAGGUUUCUUGGAACGGCAUGUAGAUACCGCAUAUAUAGGAAGGUAUAGUGGAAUCAUAUGGAAUAACUCUGGGGUUCACGGAAGUGGAUGCACAAGCAGUAUUCCCGCUUAGUACAAGUGAAGGCUAGAAAAAGACUGGGAAGCGACCAACUAGAGAGCGACAACAGUCAUGAACAUGCAUUAAAAUUAAUAAACAUUGAGUGCAAGCAUGAGUCGAUAUAAUCCACCAUGAACAUAAAUAUCGUGAAGGCUAUGUUGAUUUGUUUCAACUACAUGUGUGAACAUGUGCCAAGUCAAGCCACUCAAAUCAUUCAAAGAAGGAUACCACCCUAUUAUACCACAACACAACCAUUUUAAUAGCAUGUUGGCACGCAAGGUAAAGCAUUAUAAACUCCUAGCUAAUUAAGCAUGGCAUAAGCAACUAUAAUCUCUAAUUGUCAUUGCAAACAUGUUUAUUCAUAAUAGGCUGAAUCAGGAAUGAUGAACUAAUCAUAUUUACAAAAACAAGAGAGGUCGAGUUCAUACCAGCUUCUCUAAUCUCAAUCAUUUCAUCAUAUAUCGUCAUAAUUGCCUUUCACUUGCAUGACCGAACGAUGUGAAUAAUAAUAAUAGUGCACGUGCAUUGGACUAAGCUGGAAUCUGCAAGCAUCUGAUAAAUAGGAGAAGAUAAGGCAAUAUGGGAUCUUAGUUAAAUCAACAAUAAUGCAUAUAAGAGCCACUUCAACAAUUUCAUUAUGGUCUUCUCUUCUCGACCCCCAAAGAAAAAGAAAGGAAAUAAAACUAUUUACACGGGAAAGCUCCCAACAAGCAAAAGAAGAACGAGAAAUCUUUUUGGGUUUUCUUUUAAUUAAUACUACUACAACAUGGAAAGUAAACUAGCUAAAAGCUACUACUAAUUUUUUUGGGUUUUUCUUAAGGUUUUUCAAACACACAAGAAGAAAGCAUAAAAAGGAAAAUAAACUAGCAUGGAUAGUACAACGAAAAAGUAUGAGCACCGACAACUUGCAUGAGUGUGUGAAUAUGAAUGUAAUGUUGGUGAGAAAUACGUACUCCCCGAAGCUUAGGCUUUUGGCCUAAGUUGGUCUAUUGCCACGGCUGGCCUGGCGGAUAUCCAAAGUUGUAACUGGGGUCGUACUGAGAUGCAGCGUCUAUUGCAUCGUGGGCUGCAGCUUGGAGGUGAGCUAUCUCAGUCCUCCUCUCAUACUCGUUAGCCUCCUCCCUGGUUACGACAUAUCUCCCUUUUGCCUGAAAGUCAAAGAAAGUAGGAGCAGGGAGAGAGACGUGAUAGGUGCGUCGUCUGUCAAAGAUUAGUCGGUACUGGAGGAACUGAUCGUUCCUCUCAACAAACUGAUGACGAACCAUAGCCUCAUAAUCUAAAUAAACAGGAGGCAACUCAAUAUCAUACUCACGUAUGGGUAUAUCAAGAAAAUUAGCUAGACGGGUUGCAUAAAUUCCACCAAAGAAAUCUCCAUUAUUUCUAUUAUUAUGCAACCUACGUGCAACAAUGGCUCCCAAAUUAUAAUGUUUAUCUCCUAAUACAGCACUCCUGAGAACACUGAGAUCAGGGACACACAUGUGACAUGCUUCAUCCUUACCAUUGAUGCACCUACCUAUGAAGAGAGCAAAAUAAUGUAUAGCAGGAAAAUGAAUGCUCCCUAUGGUAGCUUGUGUUAUAUCUCUAGACUCCCCCAUAGUUAUACUAGCAAGAAAACCUCUAAACUCAGAUUUGCGAGGCUCACUAGUGCUACCCCAUUGUGGAAGUUUGCAAGCAGUAUUAAAAUCCUCUAAGUCCAUAGUAUAAGAAUUUUCAUAAAGAUGAAACAGGACAGUUUGAGAAUUGCGUGAUGAUGAAUUCAAACCUUCUCACAAAGGAAUCAGUGAGAUAGUGGUACUGACGGCACUUAUCUGCCUCGAAGCUCUCAAGAUCACCGUUACGCACAUAUGCGUUAAAUUCUUCCUUGAGUCCUGCUCGAUCCAUAAAGUCCUCUGCGGCCAUUCACAAGCCCGCACUUGAGCUUCCUGUCGGUGUCAAAACCGGUGGAUCUCGUAGUAGGGGUCCUAAGCUAGGCUCCUGGGAGCGAUGGUAACAUGGACACGGGGUUUUACCCAGCUUCGGGCUCUCUUGAUGAGAUAAUACCCUACAUGCUGCUUUUGAUUGUAUUCAUAUGGGUGUAUUACAUAGUACAUGUAUCUACCACGAGAUUGUAGUAACGAGUAUGAUAUAUCCAUUGACUAGCCUGGCCUCGGUUUAUAUAAGACACCGGAGGCCUAGGGUUUAGGAGAGUCCUUGUCUUGGGCGCCAAGUCUUGUGGAGUCUUCCUUGUAUGCGGCAGAGGCUGUCCGAACUGGCCCAUGAGUAAACGGCCCUCGGGGUCCUUGGCCCAAUCCAAGAGAUCGGGAGACGACGUGGGGAGUACCCCCUAGUCCCGGACACCGUCAGUAGCCCCCUGAACCGGUCUUCAAGUUGGGGACGCUCCUCGAUUCUUCCGAACUGUUCUUCAUCUUCGGUCAUCGGUCUUGAAAACUGGUUCAACAAAUCUUUCCAUCUUCGGUCAUGAGGAUCGCCAAAGUGAAUCCGAAGAGUUUAUACGUCGGGUAUCCGAGGAGCCCUUUAAGUUCUCGGCCUUUAUCAAUGACUUGUUAUUUUUACGCCCACCUCGGGUUUGAAGUUGUUCCCGGGCGGCGGUGUCCUCUUGCAUCCGAGCUCCAACGCCGGACUGCAUUCGAGGUAUCUUUUGCAGCCAAGCACCAACGCCGGGCCGCUUCCAAGCUCCAAUGCCGGAAUGUAUUCGAAGAAUCUUGUUACAUCCGAGCUCCAAUGCCGGACUAUAUCCAAGCUCCAACACCGGACUAUAUCCGAGGUGUCAUAGAUCACCUAGGCUUAAAAAAGUUGAAGGAGUUUAGCCGAGCUUAAUGCCGGAAAUGCCCUCUAUAGAGCCAGCCGAUUGCAUCCGAGCUUUAUGCCGGACUGCUUCCAAGAUGACGCACCACCUCGGGCUUGGACUGAUUGUUUGUGGAUUUUAUUUCCGAUUGAUGCAAUUUACUUGCUGACGAGAUAUGUAGCGAGUAGCCCUCAAGGUGUGUAUCGGCCUAAAAUUCCGAGAUGCACUUUAGAGGAGAUAGUGAUCGGCGGACGAACCCUUGAGAGAGGGUUUUGAGAAGUCGCCAUAAUAUACUAGCUUGAUGCCGGAUAGGUCCAUAUGGUACUUAUUGUUGUCCGAAGACGCGUUUGCGCAUAGUUCGGUCAAGCCGAACAUUGAGCACUUUGAAUUUUCUGCAUUGAAUAGGCAAUGUAGUAUCCCCCGAGACACUGGUCAGGUGGCAACACCAGAUCAGGGGAUCGGUGUACCCCUUUAAUAUUUGUAAAUGAUAAGCACGAAGCCCAGUAGCCCCCGAGCCUUAAUAUGGGCACGGGUGACCGAAUUAAGGAUCGAUUUCCAAAGUAAAAUCACAAAUUAUGUGUAAUGAUUCUAUGUAUCCAAGUACUUUACAUCAUUAAUGCUCGGAUCCGCAUUGUACAAAACUUUUUGACCGACCAUCAGCUUCAACCUCCUCAGCCAGCAGUCGAGGAGUGUUUGUCCUACUUUAUAAAGCCUUUAGGAGGGCAAAGAUUUACGACAAACGAGGCAAUCCGGCCAUAUGGUUGUAUAAACAAAGGUACGCAGAGAGAUGUUAUAUUAUUGUUUUAACAAAAAAAUGUCUUCCAAAGAAAAUAGUACCGCUAUUGGUUCCUUUCUUUGCGUUGUCAUGCUAAACAUGAUCAUCAAACCUCACCUUCGAUCAAUGCGGAUAUUGACGAUUUAGUUUGGGGAAAGUUCCCGAACUAUGUGGUCCUUAGCAAACCUAAAUUUUCACUUCCGUCAUUGCCGAUCAAUUAUAUCCUUUAAGAUCGCUAGCUUUCGGCUUCACCCAGUCUGAGGUACCAACUCGGAUGACCCGGUAGUAACAAUCACAGAGGUGCUCCCUUUACCGCCUAGCCGAACAAUCGGGAAGGUAGGGGUAAGCACAGGAGCCAGGCAACCCAGCUUGGCCAAAAUCUUAAGUCAAAUUGAUGCAUAUUUAUGGCUUUAUAUAACGAUGAUUAUGUAAGGCAGCCCUCGUAUAUUAAAUACAAAUGCCGGCGAUAUGUUUAUUUUGACUCCGUUGCGACCGUUUAUCAGUUGAAAGUGGCCCAUCGUCGGCUUCCACCCCCUUGUAGAUGCUAUGCAGGGUGUUUUCGCAAUAACAAAACAACCCUUAGCCGACGUCUCGGUGCCCGAAGGCGGUUGUGUUAGCGGAAACGAGGCAAUCAGAUAUGCGGGCUUUAUAACUUUCUCUUAGUCAUAGGAGCUUAGAGUUGGGAGGCCAGUUACUAGCCCCCGGUUAGUGUUCGGCGAUAGCCGAUGUCAAGCUGUUAACACUUCGGCCAAUAUUAUGAAUGGCCCGUCGCUUAACACGAGAUGACCUCCAUCAAUCUUAUAAUUUAACGCAGUCAUCGGAUCACUGACCAGUUUACGCUUAUUGUGACAGUCGGUUUUCGGCUUUCUCCACUAAGGCGCUUAACCAUGCAAGCUGGAAGCACAAUCGCAGAGGUUCUCCCUUUGCACACCUAGCCGAACAAAGCGGAACGUAGGAGGCAAGCACAAGAGCCGGGCAACCCAACUAUUGACCGAAGACACAAUUCGAAACCGAUGCACAUAUAGCAAUGUCCGAGAAUGUUUUUGCCGAAUCUCUAAAGGUGUCCGGCGUUGCACUGCGAGACUAAUGCUGGAAACACAUAAAUAGUUUAAAAGUGCCAAGGGCUUGGAAAACCAAAAAACUUCAGUAAAAACUUGACGUCCGAACUAGAUCAAGUGUUCGGUGCCAAUCCGAAAAUUGGUCUUAGAAGAAAAAAACUUGUACUUCUGUUGUGUUUUAACAUGACACAUCCUAUCUCAAGACUCUCAAGCAGGUCAGCCUACGGCUUCAACCUCCUAUCCCGAAGGCGGAGUACUUCUCGUUAGGCCAGUUUAGCAAACAAAACUCUAGCGGCUUUGAGAGAGAAAUUAGGCUAUCCCGCUAUUGACCACACACUUGGCGUCGAGAAAACAGUGAUAAAAAAGACUUUGCAACGACUAAGAAAAAAACGGCUCAUGCUAAUUUAAGAGCCCCCAAGUGACUUGGGUAAAAGAAUUUUAUGUAUAAUGAUUGUAUGUACUGAAGUACUUAUAUCAUAUAUGUGUUCACCCGAACUUUAAACGCGUCUUAACCGACCGUCGGCUUCUCCCUCUUCGGCCAAGGGCCAAAAAGUGUUAUGUACUCCACCUGUCGAGAAUAUCGACGGUAUUUCCGAUAACCAGGCAAUCAGGCCAUAAGGCUGUAACAGACAAAGCACGCUCAGGGAACUUAUGCUAUAUUACUGACGAAGUGUAAGAAGCAUCUUCGAAGAAAAUAGUACCUCCACCGGUACCUUUCUUUGGUUGCUCAUUGUUACUAUGAGACUUGUGCAAUAGAUUUUUUGUACUCAUGAGUUCCGUUGUGUGCCGACCAUGAUUGAAAACAAUAAGAGCGCUAGUUUUUAGCUUCACCCAGUCUGAGGUCCGAGCUCGGAUGACUCGAUCGUGACAAUCGCAGAGGUGCUCCCUUUACUCCCUAGCCGAACAAUCGGAACGUAGGGGUAAGCACAGGAGCCAGGCAACCCAGCUUGCGGAACACUUAAGUCAACAUGGUGCAUAUUGUGGCGUUAUACACGAACAACGAACGAAGCCAUACAAGUAUAAUCAUAUGCAAGAGGAAAGGCUUCGUAAAGGAAGCCCCCAAGUAAACGGGGUAUUUGAAUUGCAACAAACAAGGUUUUGACAAAGAAAGUUUGUCGCAAAUGACUUUUUGUCAAAAAAGCAUAAUGCUUGGUCGAACCGAACGAAAUUUAAAACUGAAGGUAUUUAAGCAUGGAAGCGACUUAGCUGGUUAAUGUGCUCGGUGUCGAUGCACGGCCCGAGCUUGAUGCGGGACAAGGUUCCAGCCCCCAGGCUGGUCCCGAGGUGGCCGAGCAGAGAGUUCGGCACUCCGAAGAGAUGAAGCCCCCAGUCCAGCCGCGGUGAUGGAGCAGGUCGGCGGGUGACACCAGAGUCUCCGGCUGAGUAGGUUGACGAAGCGACGAUGCGGGGUUGCCAACAUAGGGCAGCACGCCAAGGCGACAACACAAUUUGGUCGACGGAGGCGACAGCGUGGCUCAGUCUAAGUCGAUUGGCUGCAUAGAUAAAAUAGUGCAAACCAAAAGUAAUGACAGAUAAUAAUGUAUAUUAAAAAAUUCUUCUACUUAAUUAAUAUAAGUGAAGUAAAUAAUGGAAGAGAUAUGGCCUGAGCAUCGAGGUCGGCCCAGUGAAGUGGUCGCGUGGUAAUGCUGACAGAGGGAUGUGUGCUGAGGCGACUCCCCAACUUGAUCAACAUCGGCAGGACGAUGUUGUUGGCCCCAUGGAGUUGACCGCGUGACAUAAUCUAAGGUGAUUACCUACGCACAUAAAAUAGUGCACUCCAAAAAUAGAAAAUCUUCUAUUUAAUUGACAUAAGUAAAUUUCUUUUGAAUAAAUAUGGCCCGGGCGACAAGGUCAGCCCGGCGGAGCCGCAAUGUGGAAAAGUUGACACAGGGACACGCAUCGACGCGACGCGACGACUUGGUCAACGUCGGCGGGACGACAAUAUCACCUUGUUGAGGUGUUAGCGCGGCCCAACCUAAAGAGAUUGCCUGCACACACAAAGUAGUGCAACCAAGAAAUAAUAAUAGUGAAAAAAGGUGCAUAAUUAAUUUAUGCGAAAAAGGUUUGGAAAAUAUGGCUUGAGCGCUGAGACUAGCUCGAUGGCGCGAUGGUGUCGUGGUACGGCGAUGUCGGCGAAGGUUGGCCUGCCCAGGUGACAGGGAGAGGCUGGCCAGACUAACGCCAGGUACAAACGUCGGUAGAAUUUCUUUGCCAAAAUAAUGCAGUACACGCCAACAGAAAAAAAUCCAUGCGUAAUAAGUUUACGUGCUAACCGAAUAGUUAGGAAAGAUGAAACCUGGAAUUAUUUUGCACGUAGCAGACCGAAGAGGAAAUUCUUCAAGAUCCCAGGUGACCUAGUACUAAACCAGACCAUCCUCCGGGAGAAGUUGCAGUGGCAAUUGACGAAGAAUCAACAAAAAAUCAAGCAUUAGAUUUGGCCUUUACGUGAAUUGGAAAAGCAAAGCUAAGGCAUACUAUGCAUUGAUUAGAUCUCGAAGAUCGUGUUGCACUUAUACUAAUAAUACCAAUUAACAAAUUGAAUAACUUCCCUGAUGCUUCACGUGGAGUAGAUUCUCUUUCUACGGGAACACUACUAGCAGCAGGAAAUCGGCCAGGGGACUUGGCCUGGGACUUCGGCUGGUGGAGGAAAAAAUAGUGGCGGCCGAUCAUCUCCGAUUUGACCACUAGUUGGACUAGUAUUCGGCUGGUGCUCUUGUAUGCUUCGCGGCUAGUCGGCCACAACACGUCCAUGACCAGACCAUCAGGGAACGGUGGCGCCUGUCACUCAUGGACACGGCCGUCUAUACUUCUGAUUUGCAAAUAAUUAGUGCAGACUAGCAACGGGGCUCGAAAUAAAUUAUUCAUUACAGGACGAUCUAACCAGAAGAAUAUCACCUGGUUCACCCCAUCAAUCUGUGACGAUCACCCAGCAGGCUCUCGAUGAAAGCACCAAUGUCGGUGUCAAAACUGGCGGAUCUCGUAGUAGGGGUCCUAAGCUAGGCGUCUGGGAGCGAUGGUAACAUGGACACGGGGUUUUACCCAGCUUCGGGCUCUCUUGAUGAGAUAAUACCCUACAUGAUGCUUUUGAUUGUAUUCAUAUGGGUGUAGUACAUAGUACAUGUAUCUACCACGAGAUUGUAGUAACAAGUAUGAUAUAUCCAUCGACUAGCCUGGCCUCGGUUUAUAUAAGACACCAGAGGCCUAGGGUUUAGGAGAGUCCUUGUCUUGGGCGCCAAGUCUUGUGGAGUCUUCCUUGUAUGCGGCAGAGGCUGUUCGAACUGGCCCAUGAGUAAACGGCCUUGGGGGUCCUCGGCCCAAUCCAAGAGAUCGGGAGACGACGUGGGGAGUACCCCCUAGUCCCGGACACCGUCACUUACCUCUGUGGUUCAUCGUCCGCAUCGCGUAUUGCGAGCCUGGGCCCUUGCUUCCUUGAAGGACCACCUUGGUAUAUUUUCCUAAACAUAUUUCUUCCUCUGAAAAAUUGCUGAAAAUUUUAGUAACUCAAAAUAAAAGUGAACCAAACUCAACAAAAUUGAUAGCAACUACUCCUACAAGAUCCUAGAGACUAUAUCAUGCAUUAGAACUACUUGGGACAAUAUAAAUUUGACAUGCAAACUCAAGAACAGGGUCACCUAGGCAGCAAAAAUUUGCAAUAAAUAAAGCACUAGAACAAAAACUAAUUGGACCAUUGGAGGAGUCACAUACCGAAGAACAAUCCCCCAAAGCAGUUUUGUGAAUGGAGCUUUGAGCAAGGAGAUCGAAAAUCACAGCAAAAUGAGCUAGAACUCGUGCUUGAGCUGGUUGGUGAUUUUUUGGGAGGAAGAAGAAGUGUGUGGGUGCAGGAAUAAGUGGAGGGGAGCCACCAUGGGCCCACGAGGCAGGGGGCGCGCCCUGGACCCUCAUGGCCAGGUGCUUGCUCCCCCUGCUGUGUUCUCAGUACCAGAUAUUCUCAAAUGUUCCAAAAAAAAUCAUAUUUCAAUUUCAUGGCAUUUGGAGAACUUUUAUUUUCGGGGUAUUUUUUAUUGCACGGAUAAUUCAGAAAACUGACAGAAAAUACUAUUUUUGCUUUAUUUAAUCUAAAUUACAGAAAGUAAAAGGAGGGUAUAGAAGGUUGUGCUUUCUAACUUCAUCCAUCUCAUGCUCAUCAAAAGGAAUCCACUAACAAGGUUGAUCAAGUCUUGUUAACAAACUCAUUACGAAUAACAUGGAACCGGAGAAAUUUCGAAUAACACUAUGUUACCUCAACGGGGAUAUGCACAUCCCCAAUAAUAAGAAUAUCAUAUUUCUUCUUGACAGUAGGAAGAGCAAAUUCAAAACCUCCAAAAAUAAUCGAUGGAAUUUUUCAAAUAUAAUUUAUACUAUGGACUUGAGGUUGUUUCCUCGGAAAGUGUACCGUAUGCUCAUUACCGUUAACAUGAAAAGUGACAUUGCCUUUUUUGCAAUCAAUAACAGACCCUGCAGUAUUCAAAAAGGGUCUUCCAAGAAUAAUAGACAUACUAUUAUCCUCGGGAAUAUCAAGAAUAACAAAGUCCGUUAAGAUAGUAACGUUUGCAACCACAACAGGCACAUACUCACAAAUACCGACAGGUAUAGCAGUUGAUUUAUCGGCCAUUUGCAAAGAUAUUUUAGUAGGUGUCAACUUAUUCAAAUCAAGUCUACGAUAUAAGGAGAGAGGCAUAAAACUAACACCGGCUCCAAGAUCACAUAAAGCAGUUCCAACAUAAUUUCUUUUAAUGGAGCAUGGUAUAGUGGGUACUCCUGGAUCUCCAAGUUUCUUAGGUAUUCCACCCUUAAAAGUAUAAUUAGCAAGCAUGGUGGAAAUUCAGCUUCCAGUAUCUUUCUAUUAUUAGUAACAAUUUCUUUUAUAUACUUAGCAUAAGGAUUCAUUUUGAGCAUAUCAGUCAAACACAUACGCAAAAAGAUAGGUCUAAUCAUUUCAGCAAAGCGCUCAAAAUCCUCAUCAUCCUUUUUCUUGGAUGGUUUGGGAGGAAAAGGCAUGGGUUUCUGAACCCAUGGAUCCCUUUUCUUACCGUGCUUCCUAGCAAAAAAGUCUCUCUUAUCAUGAUGUUGAUUCUUUGAUUGUGGGUUAUCAAGAUCAACAGCAGGAUCAAUUUCUACAUGAUUAUCAUUGCUAGGUUGAGCAUUAAUAUGAACAUCAUUAUUAAUAUUAUAACUAGGUUCAUGUUCAUUACCAGAUUGUGUUUCAGCAUCAGAGAUAGAAAUAUCAUUGGGAUUCUCAGGUGUGUCAACAACAGGUUCACUAGAAGCAUGCAAAGUCCUAUCAUUCUUCUUUUUCUUCUUUUUAGAAGGACUAGGUGCAUGUAAAAUAUUUCUCUGAGAAUCCUGCUCAAUUCUCUUAGGGUGGCCCUCAGGAUACAAAGGUUCCUGAGUCACUUUUCCUGUCGGGUGGUAGGUGUGACAUAUGCCAACGGGUGGCUUAUCAUUGUGGGAGCCAGUAAGACAUCACCGGUGCCUGGAAACGGGAUGAGGCGAAGACAUGCACGCCGGCGAAUCUUACCCAGGUUCGGGGCUCUUCGUGUAGAUAACACCCCUAGUCCUGCUCUGCGGGGUCUCCGCAUGAUCACUAGAUCAACACAAGUAGCUACAAGAGGCUCCUUGAGCUGUUUGGCUAGAGGAAGAAGAAGGGCAAGGCUAGCUCUCCUUUUCUCUCUAUGUGGUGUCUAAAACUCUAGGAGAUCAACCCUUUGCAUGGGUGCCCUGGGGGGUUUAUAUAGGCCUACCCCCCAGGGGUACAAUGGUAAUCCGGCUGGAUGCGGGUCCUAGCCGUCAGUGUCUGUAUUCGCCGGCUUCUCCACCGACCGCUGGGGCCCGCCGACUGGUGGGUCCCGCCGGCUGCCCGCCAACCCCACCGCCUGGGGGUCUUGUCGGUGGCUGGUUACUGUAGCCUCGCCUCUGAUGACGAGGGCUUUGUCGAGGUAAGCAUGGCCAUAGUGCCGCCGCCUUGCGGGCUCUCACUGUAGCCUUACCUCGUCUUGUCUCCUUAAUGGUGCACAUACUUCGAGGGUGGGGUUAGCCGGCUAUGCCCGAGGCCGACUGGGGGAGGCCUGGCCGCUUUGAGCAUCUCUCUGGCUGAAGGGCCCCGCCGCCCGCGGGCCGUACUGGCGCCUGUCGUGGGUGGUGUCAUGGUCAACAUGGCAACAGUGCCGCGCCGGACGGGGGAUGGCCGACCCGUACGGCGCUCUGUGGCCACGCGUGCUUCUGGAUUCGGGGGUGGCAGGUUGUAUUGUAGCCAUGCCCCGUCUCAUCACCGUUAUGUGGGUGCAGCCCUUGAGGGUGUAGUCUUGGCCGGCUUCUAGGAGUCGGCCUUCUUCAUGGCCGGCUUUUGGGAGUCGGUCUUCUUCGUGGCCGGCUUCUGGGAGUCGGUCCUCUUGGGGCCGGCUUGCUGGAGUCGGCCAUCUUGUGGUUCUCUUCAGGAAGGUUUUUGAGGCCGGGUCGCCUUCCAGGAGUCGGCUCGGGAGAUAGCCGGCCAGGGGAAGGCGGCCCUGUGCUUUGGAUGCUUGAAGGCUCGAUCGGCGUGAUAAGUUUUUGAAGAGCCAGGGGGAGUCGGUUAGGCUACCCGUGGCCAUUUACUCCGACAGUAGUCCCCGAAGAUGGUUGGGCUUCGAGGCUGAGAGGGGGACGAGAAGCUCGGUCAGCUUCCUAUCUUGAAGAGCCAGCAGCUAGGAACCGGCUUCGGUUGGGUGCGCUGUCUUGGCGAGAUUUUGAAGUCUGAAGGCGGGAGCCAGCUGGUGCGCACGCCGGGUUGCGGGCCGGCCGCUUGCCGCGCGCGCGCCAUGUGGCACCCUCCGGCUGAAAAAAGCCUGCCAGCCCACGCGCGCGACGGGACGCCGCCGCAGGCCGGGGCCCACCACUCCCACGCCUAGGCCCAGGCGCGGAUUUUCUGUGGCCCAAAGCGGGCCGCUCGCCUUCCGAUGGCAGUUUCUGCACGUCGUUAGGGCACAAUAAUCACGGGACGUGGGGGAGUGGGCGCAGUUAAUCCCACGUUCCCCCCCCACGCCUCGCCUCCUCGGCUUCGCCGCACGAGACUAUAAGUAGGGGGAGGAGGGGGAGCGGCAGACGCUCGCACGCUCACCCUCGCUCCGCCAUUCUCUUCUUCUUUCUCUCCAUCGCAGAAACCCUUCGUCGCCGUGCCGUCCCUCUAGUCUUCGCACUACCCCGCAGCUUCGCCGCCGCGGGGCCGUGAUUUCACCGCCGCCGCGCCCUUUCUCGCCAGCUUCUUGCCGUGAUGCAGCACGGUGGAGACUCGGAUGGCUCCAACGUCCACGCGGACCACAUCGACUUCCUCCGCAAGACGCGGCGGUCGCCCGGCGAGGACCAAGUGCGGGUCCGCCUGGCGCCGAAGAAGGAGAUCACGCGGGACCUGAAAGAAGGCGAGCGGGUACUCUUCCGCUCGCAUUUCCUGCGUGGCCUUGGCCUGCCAGCUAGCGCCUUCUUCCGCUCCUUCCUUGAAUUCUACCAGCUCCAGCCGCACCACCUCACUCCAAACACGGUGGUGCUGCUUUCUGCCUUCGUCACUCUGUGCGAGGGCUUUCUUGGCGUUCUUCCCACCCUCGAGCUCUGGGGGGAAUUCAUCCAAUCCAUGCUCGGCACCCGGAUGCAGGGCGUGCCGGCUCAGAGCAGCGCCUUCAUUGCGAUGCGGAGGCCGGCAGCCGACAACCCCUUCCCAUCCAUUACGCUGAUCCAGUCGGUGAAGCUCUGGCAGAAAUCGUACUUCUACGUGAAGAACGUCGCCCCGCAAGGCGACUACGUCAACUUGCCGGCUUACGUAGCCGGCCCAUCGGCUGGGAGGCGGCCCCAGUGGUCCUAUCGGGCCAGGACGCUGACGCUGGAUGGAACCGCCGCCGUCGCCCGGCUCCGGGUAAUGAUCCAGCCGGAGGGCCUAACUGGGUCUGACCUGCUGGCCGCCUUCGUGGUGCGCCGGGUGCUCCCACUUCAAGGCCACCCUCAUUUGAUCUGUCAAAUGAGCGGCCAACUCGAUCCGAGUCGGAUGUGCACCAAGGAGAUGCCUCAUGACGAGGUAGCUCACAUGGUGAAUUAUCUUGCAAACUGCAAGCUCUCCUAGGAGUGGCAGUUUGGCAAGGAGCCGUACUCCCCUACCAACCCUCCGCCUAUGGUAUGCUUUCUAAAUCUUCUCUUCUUUAGUUUUGUCACCAAGUUUUUCUUGGCCGACUCUGACCAGUCGGCUCGUCUUAGCAGAACCCUCUCCUUCGACCGGCGGCUGGGUCAGCGGAGGCGGAUCGCCAAUUUCUCCCCGACCGGGCGGCGCACGACUUGGAGGACCCCGACUUGGGGGCGGCCGCUAUGGACGACAACACCGAGGUGGGAGGCGGCGAAGCAGGCGGCUCUGGGCUUGGAGCCAGCUUCGACGAUUGGCCAGAUGACGACGAGGCGGAAAUCGUCCCGCGCCGCCAGCCGGCGUCAGAUCAAGGCGCGGGCUCAUCUGCCGCGCCGGCUGCCCGAGGCGGCGCACAGAAGCGCCGGGCCACAUCGGGCUUGUUCGGCAGUCGGCCGAAGAAGCCCAAGGGCGGGGCGGCUGCGACCAGGCGGGAAGAGGAGGCCGCGAAGGCGGCCCGCUUCCGCAAGGUGGUGAAGCAGCCGCAAAAAGUUUCAGCGUAAGUGUCGAUUCUCUCGCGUAUUCCUUCUUCUUUUCUUGUCGAUUUCUGAAUCAUUGUCUUGACUUAUCAAACAGGGCUCCGCUCUCUCUUAAGCGGAUCGCUGCCGCCUCCGUGGUCGGAUCGGCGGGAGGAUCUGGGAGCACCCGCCGCAUGGACUCCCGUGCCGAGCUUCAAGCGGCGACGGAGAGGAACGCGCGGGAGGCACGGGAGGAGCGGGAGGCGGAGGAUCUGAAGGCGGCCGCCGCCAAGGCGGCGCAGGAGAAGGCGAAGGAGUCGGCGAAGGCACAAGCCGACGCAGCGGCCGAGGCUCAAGCGGAGGCUGCAGCCGCAGAGGCAGCGGCGGGGGCCUUGCUUGUCACCCCCCUGCGCGCCGUGGCGCCCGAGAUCCCGGAGCCACCGCGGGAGGAAGCCGGUGGCGACCUGCCGGGGAUGGAGAGGGAGGAGGAUGACGUCGUCGUCCAGGAAAGGGAGGCGGCACCGCCAUCGCCGACUGGGGCGGCCCAAGGCAGCCGGCCUAACACGCCACCUGCGCAACCGGCUGGAGGCGAGCCGGCUGCGAGGACGGACCUGGCGGUCCGGUCGCCAUCGCGCCAGCGCGUGGGGAAGGCAACUUCGGCGCUGGACCCACAGAAGGCCGCGGGCUCCAGCUCGUCGGCCCAGGAUCUGGAGACGGCCGGCGCCAGCUCGGGGUGGACGCCGGGUGGUGGGACGGCCAUGGUGAACGUGGCGGCGUAGGAAGUCCGGAACCGGCUUCAGUCCCAGGCCGCUGUGUUGAGGCAGUACAAUGACGAGUUCCUCGCGACACGGGCGGCCAUUCGGGUGAGUCUUCCCGUUUCUUGUUUCUUGAUCUUGAUUUCUUCCGUGGGGGCGCGUCAGCGCACCCACUGGGUGUAGUCCCCGAGUUCCGAGUCGGCUGCUGAGCCGGCGGCUUGGAACUUCUUGGUAGACUUUGUUUGCUAUCUUGUUUUUAUUCGCUUCUUUGUCCGACUUGCAGGACUACCACAACCUCCGUGCGGCUGCCUCCAACUCCCAGGCUCGGGAGCUGACCCAGAAGACCGCUGAUCUAACUGAGAGCCGGGGUAAGUGCUUCCUUUUUUAUCUCACGUGGGGGCGCGUCAGCGCACCCACUGGGUGUAGUCCCCGAGAUUCGGGCCGACUGCUGAGCAGUCGGGCCGGAUCUUUCCUGGCGACUUCUUUCUUAUUGUUUUUUUCCUCUUUGCCAUAUAUGCAGCGGCCAAUGCCGAACUGAGGGAGCAACUGGGUGGGACCCAGGCCGCCCUUCGCGCCAAGGAAGCCGAGUUCGACGCCUUGGAUCAGGAGCAUGACCGCCUGGUCAAGAAGCUAGCGGACCAGGAGGAGAGCCACAAGGCGGCCCUGAAGGUGGUGCAGGACAGUGAAGCCGCCCUCCAAGCCGAGUACGAGAGACCGAGGCGGCGAGCUGCGCUGAGGCGAGGCAGUCGUUGAUCAACGGCUACGGCCAGAUCGAAGACUUGGUUGACGGUAGGCCGCCUUCUUCUUCGUUCCUUUGCUUGCCGCUUGCCAUUUAGUCCAUUCUCUGACUUUGUGUUUUUUCUUUUUCUUUUCCUUUCUUUCUUGUGCAGAGUACUUCCCUAGUUACUCUACUGCCGCCAACCAGGUCAUCGAGGCCCACCACGAGGCGUAGAGGCAGGCUAGCGAUGAGAUCGCGCCGAAAGCUCGCCGGUUGCUUGAGGAACAGCUCUUGGCGAUCCAACCCCGCCUCCAGCCGGCUCACCGCAUGCUCCGCCGGCUUCAGCGUGUUGGAGCGCAAGUGCUGGCCGCUCUCUGGCUCGGCGAGGUGAUUCCCCGUACCACCAGUCGGACUGCGGACUGGCUGGAGGUAGCGGUCAGCCGCUUCGAGGCCUGGAAGGCUUCUGCGGCUCGGUCAGGCGCCAGGCGGGCGUUGGAGUUCGUCAAAGCCUGGUAUCCUGAGUUGAGCUUGGACCAGCUGGCCACCUGGCAACAGGAGGCCGACACGGAGCUGGAGCCGGCGCGGCCGGCUAUCAUCCAGCGUGCCUCGGCGAUCGCCGACUACACCGACACCAGCGCCUUUGCUCCUGAGGUGGAUGAUAAUGGCGUUGCUCAGCCGGAGGACUAGUUCAGGCUGAACCCAGCAGAUGGUGAGGACUCGGCGGAGGAGAUCGACUCCAGCGGCGAGGGCGAGGAGGAGGAGGAGGAUGGUGAAGACGCCGUGCCAGAUGGUGGAGCAGCCGGCCAGCCUCAGCUUGAUCGUGCCUCUAGCAAUGAGGCGCGUGCGAGCGCACCGCCUGAAGCCGGCGAUGAUCAAGCCGAGACUCGCCAGCCGGCCACUCCUCCAGCCGGCACUGCCGUCUCCACCGACCAGCCCGGCUCGCCUGUUGCGCCCUUAGCCUAAUCUGCCGCCUUUACUUUCAUGUUUUAUUACUCUUUGAACAAUAUUUUGUUAAAUUUGUGCAGUUCCACCCACUGGGGGUGUAUUCAAACUAUCUUGAAUGCCGGCCUUUCGAAGGCCUUUUGUGUAAAUAUAAUCAUGCAUGUGUUUGGCUUCCCAUUGUUCUUGUUGUUCAUCCUUUGGCUGUUUCCUUUGCCGCCCUCCCUUGGUCGCGGCCUUCCCAGCCGGACAGCUGCUCUGCAGUCUGUGGCUGGAGAGGUGCUUGGCCGGUUGGGAGGGCAAGUACUCUAGCUUUCUUGGAUUGUAGCAAAGUGAAUGGGAAGCCGGCCAGCCGGCUAUUCUGACAGCCGGUGGGCGUGGCGGGAGACCGGCUUGUGUUAUAUAGGUUCAUUAGUCCUUAGCCGUUUUUCGUUUGGGCAUCCUUUCCUGCCUUUGGCUCUUGCCAGUCGGACAGUCGGUUCUUCGAGCUGCGACUUUCAACAGGAGAGGGCUCGGGUGCUGGCACACUACUUGUCUGACUGCAGGUAGAACUUUAAUAUAACUCAAGGCGGCAAGUCCCCGGGCCGACUGGUCGAACCCGGUGCCGGACAGAAAAUCAAAUGUAAUAAUACAUUCAUAGGUAUGACACUCGUCAUACAUACAUAAAAGAGGGUAGUCCCCGAGUACACCGCGGGGGCCCGUUGUCUUGUACUUAAUACAAAAGGUAGCGUGGUACAUACUGCUUUUAACUGUAAAAUCUUCUCAGGAGAUUGGCGUUCCAUGGUCGUUCCGACUCCUUGCCGGAAUCAUCCCUCUUGCGUGCCUUCGGCUUCUGUGCGUCGAUCAGGUAGUAGGAGUCGUUGCCUAGGGCCUUGCUGAUGACGAAGGGGCCUUCCCAAGGGGCCGAGAGCUUGUGCUGGCCGGCUGUUCGCUGGAUCAGCCGGAGCACAAGAUCGCCUUCUUGGAAGGAUCUUGGCUUGACCUUCCGGUUGUGGUAACGGCGCAAACCCUGCUGGUAGAUGGUGGACCGGCUGAGUGCUAACAGCCGGCCCUCUUCCAGCAGGUCGACGCCGUCUUCUCGCGCUUCCUUGGCCUCCGCCUCCGUGUACAUGGUGACUUGAGGCGAGUCGAACUCGAUGUCAGUUGGGAUGACAGCCUCGGCACCAUAUACAAGGAAGAAAGGAGUGAAGCCGGUUGACUUGUUCGGGGUAGUACGCAGACUCAUCGAGCCAGCAACCGGCCGAACGCUCCAGUGGUACGACCAGUUGGGGCUUGAUGCCGGAGAGGAUGAGGCCGUUUGCUCGCUCGACUUGGCCGUUUGACUGCGGGUGGGCAACGGACGCUAAGUCCCGUCGGAUGCCCUGUGUCGCGCAGAAACGUGCCAGUGCUCCCUUGGCAAAAUUCGUGCCGUUGUCGGUGAUGAUGCUGUGUGGUAUACCAUACCGGGUGGUGAUAUCUGCGAUGAAUGUCACGACAGUCGGCCCAUUCAGCUUCUUCAUUGGCUUCGCUUCAAUCCACUUGGUGAAUUUGUCUAUGGCGACAAGCAGAUGUGUCAUGCCGCCGCGCGCCGUCUUGAAUGGGCCCACCAUGUCCAGCCCCCAGACGGCAAAGGGCCAGGUGAGGGGGAUGGUCUUGAGUGCAGAAGCCGGCAGGUGUUGCUUGGAGCUGAAGACUUGGCACCCCUUUGCAGCAUUUGACUAAUUCCUUGGCGUCUUCCAAAGCAGUCGGCCAGAAGAAACCAUGGCGGAAAGCUUUGGCGACAAGUGAUCUUGAGGCUGCGUGGUGGCCGCAUUCGCCUUGGUGGAUGUCUUUGAGGAUUGCUAUGCCCUUCUCUGGCUCGACGCAGCGCUGGAAGACUCCAGUGACGCUACGCUUAACGAGUUCUCUGUUAAUUAUUCUAUAUGCUCCGGCUCGGCGUUGAACUUGUCUUGCCGAGAUCUCAUCAGUCGGCAGCUCUCUGUUUACUAGGAAGUUGAGGAUGGGUUGGGCCCAUGAUGGAGCUGCGACUUCUUCUAUCGCCAACACGGCUACUGCGACCAGGGUGGGUGGGUUGGGUGCUGAAGAGUUGGAGUCGGCCACCGCCUGUUGUGUCGUUGCAGUCCCCGGGCCGACUGCUGCAGUCCCUGGGCCGGGUUCCGAAGUCCCCGAGCCAGGUGCGACUACGGCAGUCCCCGGGCCGCCUGUCGAAGUCCCCGAGCCGGCUUCUGGGUUCCCCAUGUCGGACCGACUGCAUCAGGGGCAGGCGGUACGAAGAUGGAGUCUGAUUCUGGAGACGGCUUGACAGAUGGUUUGAGGAGGCGCUAAAGAGAGACACCGGCCGGUAUAGCUUGUCGGGUGGAGGCGAUCCGUGCCAGGGCAUCUUCUUUCUCGUUGUCGGCUCGUGGCACGUGGAGGAACUCGCACCCUUCAAAGUAUCCGCUGAUUUGCUGAACGAGGAAUCGGUAGCUCGCCAUGUUUGCGUCCUUGGCGCCCCAGUCGCCAGAUGAUUGUUGGACUACCAGAUCCGAGUCGCCAUAGCACAAGAUCCGGCGUAUGCCGAGCUCUUUGGCUAGCCGGAGCCCGUGUAUGAGCGCCUCGUACUCGGCCACAUUGUUGGAGGCGGCAAAAUAAAUUUGCAGUGUGUAUCUGAGUUUGUCGCCCUUGGGAGAGGUGAGGACGAUGCCGGCUCCCAAGCCGGUGCGCAUCUUGGAUCCAUCGAAGUGCAUCCACCAAUGAGUGGAGUCGGGAGCCGGCGGUAGGUACUGGGUCUCGGCUCGGUCAACAAGGAAGUCGGCCAAUGCUUGGGACUUGAUGGCGGUGCGAGGCUGGUAGAAGAUCGUGUAAGGAGCCAGCGCAAUGGCCCACUUAGCCACCCGGCCGGAUGCAUCCCGGCUGCCUAUGAUCUCGGCAAGUGGGGCAGUGCAUACGACCGUGAUGGGAUGCUCUUGAAAGUAGGGCUUCAGCUUCUGGGCAGCAAAGUAUACUCCAUAGCACAUCUUCUGGUAGUGCGGGUAGUUUUGCUUCGAGGUGGACAGUACUUCGCUCAAAUAAUACACCGGUCUCUGGACUAACUGAGCCCGGCCUUCUUCCGGGCUUUGGACCACAAUAACUGUACUGACCACUCGGCUAGUCGCGGCAAUGUAAAGGAGCAUGGGCUCUUUCUCAGUCGGCGGUGCCAGGACAGGCGGCGUGGUCAGCAUUUUCUUCAACUCGUGGAAAGCUUGGUCUGCUUGGUCGUUCCACUCGAAGUGGGUGGACUUCUUCAUGAGUCGGUACAGGGGGAGAGCCUUCUCUCCUAGCCGGCUGAUGAAGCGGUUUAGGGAGGCCAGGCACCCGGUAAACUUCUGGACGUCUCGCAGCUUGGUAGGAAUCUCCAUUCUCUCAAUGGCCUUGAUCUUCACUAGGUUGCACUCAAUGCCGCGUUCGGAGACCAAGAAGCCUAGAAGCUGGCCGGCUGGUACUCCGAACACGCAUUUCUCAGGGUUGAGCUUGAUCUGAAAUCGGCACAAGUUGGCAAAUGUUUCUCUGAGGUCUUCCAGCAGGGUGCCGCGCUUCUCCGUCUUCACCACAAUAUCGUCUACAUAGACGUGGGCAUUUCUGCUGAGUUGCUUGAGGAGGCAUUUCUGCAUGCAACGCUGAAAAGUGGCACCGGCAUUUCUCAAGCCGAAUGUCAUAGUCAGGUAGCAGAAAGCUCCGAAUGGUGUGAUGAAGGCGGUCUUCAGGCGGUCGGCUGGAUCCAACUUGAUCUGAUGGUAGCCUGAGUAUGCAUCCAAGAAACUCAACAGCUCGCAUCCGGCUGUGGAGUCUAUCACUUGAUCAAUUCGGGGUAAGGAAAACAGAUCUUUGGGGCAGGCUUUGUUGAGGCUAGUGUAAUCUAUACACAUGCGCCAUUUGUUGUUUUUCUUCAAUACUAGGACCGGGUUGGCAAGCCAUUCUGGAAAGAACACCUCCAUAAUGAAGCCGGCUGCCAAGAGCCGGGCUAUCUCUUCUCCCACUAUCCUUCUCUUCUCCUCCGACAGUCGGCGGAGGGGUUGCUUGACUGGUUUUGCGUCUGCUCGAACGUGUAGCUUGUGCUCGGCGAAAUACUUCGGAACACCUGGCAUGUCCUUUGGGGACCAUGCAAAGAUGUCCCGAUUCUCACGGAGGAAGUCGACGAGCUCUCCUUCCUAUUUGUUGUCCAGGUUCGCACCAAUGACAGCAAACCUCUCCGGGUUCUCCGGGUCCAGAGGUAUCUUCUUGGUUUCCUUGGCCGGCUGGAAGGAGCCUUGAGCAUCAUAUUCCUUGGGGUCAGGGGACAGGGCCGGCUGCUUGCCGACCAUGGCCAUGACUCGGUCUAGCAUCUUGCUCUCUUCAGCAAUCACGAGGGACUCGGCCAGCCGGCUGCUGGCUGCAGCAUACUCGGAAGAUUUCCUGUAGUCUCCGGCUAUGGUGAUGAUCCCCUUCGAACUCGGCAUCUUCAUCUUGAGGUAGGCGUAGUGGGGCACAUCCAUGAACUUGGCCAGGGCAGGUCGGCCAAGCAAUGCAUGGUAAGGGCUCUCUAGAUCCACCACUUCGAACUAGAUCGCCUCUUGGCGGAAGUGAUCCUUGUCUCCGAAGAGAACAUCCAUCUUGAUCUUGCCGAUUGGGGAACAGGACAGGCCGGGUACGAUGCCAUGGAACACAAUCCGGCUUGGCAUGAGUUGCCUCGUCUUGAGGUUCAGCAUCUCCAUGGUUUGACGGUACAGUAUAUUGAUGCUGCUUCCACCGUCAAUCAGUACGCGAGAGAAACGGGCAGCUCGCCUUUCUGUCGCGAGGGUGGCAUCCAACACCAAUGCAUAGGAGCCGGGAGACGGCAUCACCUCUGGGUGAUCGGCCCGGCUCCAGCUGAUAGGCUUCUCAGACCAAUGCAUAAACUCUGGGUUGUUGGAGGCGACUGCGUUGACUUCUUGGUGUUGACAGCGCCGACUGCGCCUGUCUUCAAUUUGGCUUGUGAAGACUACGUAGGCGGCAUGCUCAUCUGGGAACUCAUCUUGAAUGGCUCCGACUGCUGGUCGAACAGCCGGUUGCUGAGGGCCUGGAGUCGGCGGGCCAGCAGGUGGAGGCGGCACCAGUCCCUUGCUUUUGGAGAUCCGUGUGAGCCAAUGGCAUUUCCGUGUCGUGUGGUUGGACGGCUUCGCGCCGCUGUGGAACUUGCAGGAGACAUCAAGGGUUUGCUCGUAGGAGAAAGCUGGCUGCCAAGCUGGCCUGCCGCCCUUCUGCUUCUUGGGAGCGGGCCGCUCUUCGAGCUGUUCGUCUUCGACUGUGGCUACUUGCCGACUGGUGGAAGGCGGCAUGGGGGCCCUGUGCUCGUUGUCGUUCUGGUAAGGGCGUCGGUUGGAGUCGCCAGCCGGCGUCUUGGGAGCCGGAGCGAGCACCUUCCCAGAGGCAUCCACUCGAAGCUCGGUCUUCAUCGAGGAGUUGGUAGUGGCGUACUUGUCUGCUAUGAUCAGCAGCUCGUCGAGGGUAGUCGGCUCGUCGCAGAGGAGUCGGUGCUUGAGGAGGGUGCCCUCUCGGCACCCGGCGGUGAAGUACUCUAUGGCUUGAACCUCGUGCACCCCCUCGCAGGAGUUGCGGAGCUCGGCCCAACGCGUGAGGUAGUCGUGAGUUGAUUCGCUGGGCCCUUGGACGCACAAGGAGAGCUGGCGGGGCUUGGGAGGCCGCUUGUACGUGCUGGUGAAGUUGCGGAUGAAGACUUCCGUCAAAUCUAGCCAGCUGUUGAUGCUGUAGGGCUUGAGGCUGUUCAGCCAAGUGCGUGUCGUGCCUUGAAGCAUGAGUGGGACGUACUUCACGGCAACGUGCCUGUUGCCAUUUGCUAUGCGGACUGCGGUGGAGUAGUCGAUUAACCAGUCUUCCGGCUUCACGGAGCCGUUGUACUUCGGCGUGUCUCUUGGGAGUGAGAACCCUUUGGGGAAGGGCUCGUCGCGGAUGCGGGGGCCAAAGCAAGGUGGGCCGACAUCAUCUUCUUCUUCCAACGCCAGGGACCGCGCUAGGCGGUCGAUCCGGUGGCGGGCGUCAUUCUCGCCGACUCCUUCGCGGUGGCCUAGUCGACCGCCGAGACUCGGAUGCGUGACAGGCGGCGGGGUGGGAUAUCUCUCCCCAUGAGGCGGGCGAGGAGGCGGAUCGCCUCGUCGUUCCACAGCUCGGGGGCGGCCUUCUGCGUCACGCUCGAUCGUGAGCCGAGUCCGACUGCGGCUAGCAGCCGGCUCCUUGUCUUUUCUUGCACGGGCGCCGUCUGCAGUCGGCAUUCGGGAUGUCGCGCCGUGCUAUCGGCGUGGGUGAGGACUUUCAGCGCGGGCGCUGGCUUCAUGCUGCCCUGCGGCAGCGUCGAUCAGCUGCUGGAUGCGUCUAGUCACGUAGGGGAGCUCGUCAGCCCCCAGCCCAUUCGGCUCAUCCGCGGCCACCUGAGCGGCACUCAGGUUCUCGAGCGGCGUGGCGUAGACUGGGCGGUCUGCUCCCAGCAUGCUGGCGAUGGCUGCGCCGCGCUUCUUGACGAAGCCUGCUCGGCUCGGCCCGCCAGGAGGCGGCGUGCCAAAGGCGGCGCGGUCGACUUCGCGCUGGUGAGCCUCAGUGAGGCGUCUCAUGGAUGCUAUCUUCUGGCCUUCCGCGACGAGGGCGAGGCGGCGUGCCUCCAGUGUCUCGGCGUCGGCGUCGGCCGGGAUGGGGACGGACAAGUCGUGCAGCGCCGCUUGUAGGGCGUCGUGGGCGUUCUCGCCGGAGACGGCACCGUGGUUGAUGACCAACACCUCAGUGACAGCGCUGCUACCACUGUCGGCUCAAGGGAGAGGGUCGUCGAUGAUCACCACGUUGGUGGGGAAGGCGUCAAGCGAUGUCGUGUCGGAGUCGACCAGCAUCGGGUCGGUGGAGCCGACCGACUCCAAGUUCACAGCAAGCUCGCUGGAGACGUGGAGCUGAUGGAGGAGGCUGACGAGGCGGCUCUCGGGGCAGUCUGUGCCCGCGUCGGAUGCGGGCUCGUCGGAGAUGCGAGCCUCGCCAAGAAGAUCGGUGAGGCAGCUCGCCGCGCAGGCGUCGUCGACGCCUUGCAGCGCAUCGGGGCAAGCGCCAUCGGGCGUGGCGGGCUGGCUACGCUCGCGGCGGAGGAAAAGGGUUCCCGUCCAGAACAGGUCUCCGGACGACGGUGCACCUGGCCCCACGGUGAGCGCCAAAUGUCGGGUGGUAGGUGCGACAUAUGCCAACGGGUGGCUUAUCAUUGUGGGAGCCAGUAAGACAUCGCCGGUGCCUGGAAACGGGAUGAGGCGAAGACAUGCACGCCGGCGAAUCUUACCCAGGUUCGGGGCUCUCCGUGGAGAUAACACCUCUAGUCCUGCUCUGCGGGGUCUCCGCAUGAUCACUAGGUCAACACAAGUAGCCACAAGAGGCUCCUUGAACUGUUUGGCUAGAGGAAGAAGAAGGGCAAGGCUAGCUCUCCUUUUCUCUCUAUGUGGUGUCUAAAACUCUAAGAGAUCAACCCUUUGCAUGGGUGCCCUGGGGGUUUAUAUAGGCCUACCCCCCCAGGGGUACAAUGGUAAUCCGGCUGGACGUGGGUCCUAGCCGUCAGUGUCUGCAUUCGCCGGCUUCUCCACCGACCGCUGGGGCCCACCGACUGGUGGGUCCCGCCGGCUGCCGGCCUCUUGCCCGACAGGCCGGCCCCACCGCCUGGGGGUCUUGUCGGUCGCUGGUUACUGUAGCCUCGCUUCUAAUGACGAGGGCUUUGUCGAGGUAAGCAUGGCCACAGUGUCGCCGCCUUGCAAGCUAUCACUAUAGCCUUACCUCGUCUUGUCUCCUGAAUGAUGCACAUACUUCGAGGGUGGGGGGUAGCCGGCUAUUGGGAGCCGGCUAUGCCUUAGGCCGACUGGGGGAGGCCUGGCCGCCUUCGAGCAUCUCUCUGGCUGAAGGGGCCCGCCGCCCGCGGGCCGUACUGGCGCAUGUCGUGGGUGGUGUCAUGGUCAACAUGGCAACAGUGCCGCGCCGGACGGCGGAUGGCCGACCCGUACGGCGCUCUGUGGCCACGCGUGCUUCAGGAUUCGGGGAUGGCAGGUUGUACUGUAGCCACGUCCCGUCUCAUCACCGUUAUGUGGGUGCAGCCCUUGAGGGUGCAAUCUUGGCCAGCUUCUAGGAGUCGGCCUUCUUCGUGGCCGGCUUCUGUGAGUCAGUCUUCUUCGUGGCCGGCUUCUGGGAGUCGGUCCUCUUGGGGCCGGCUUCCUGGAGUCGGCCAUGUUGUGGUUCUCUUCGGGAAGGUUUUUGAGUCCGGGUCGCCUUCCAGGAGUCGGCUCGGGAGAUAGCCGGCCAAGGGAAGGCGGCCCUGUGCUUUGGAUGCUUGAAGGCUCGAUCGGCCUGAUAAUUUUUUGAAGAGCCAGGGGGAGUCGGUUAGGCUACCCGUGGCCAUUUACUCUGACAUUACCCCCUCUAGUUGCAACUCUAACAGCAAAGUCGUUAUUCUUACUAUUCAAUUCAUUGAGCAAUUCAUUCUGAGCUUUAAGCACUUGUUCUACUUGAGUGGUAACCAUAGAAGCAUGUUCACUAAUGAGUUUAAGUUCACCUUUAACUCUAGACAUAUAAUCACCCAAGUGUUCAAUCAUAUAAGCAUUGCGUUUUAAUUCUCUACCAAAAUAAGCAUUGAAGUUUUCUUGCUUAACCAUAAAGUUAUCAAACUCAUCUAAGCAUUGACUAGCAAACUUAGUACGAGGGAUUUCAGCUUUAUCAUAUCUAUAGAGAGAAUUUACCUUUACUACCUGUGUUGGGUUAUCAAGACCAUGAAUCUCUUCAAUAGGUGAUGGAUUAAGACCAUGUAUUUCUUCAACAGGAGGUAGAUUAAGGCCAUGCAUUUCUUCAACAGGAGGUAAAUUCUUAACAUCUCCAGCUUUAAUACCUUUUUCUUUCAUAGAUUUCUUUGCCUCUUGCAUAUCUUCAGGACUAAGAAAUACAAUACCCCUUUUCUUCGGAGUUGGCUUAGGAGUCGGUUCAGGAAGUGUCCAAUUAUUUUCAUUUGUCAACAUAUUAUUCAAUAGAAUUUCAGCUUGAUCAACCGUUCUUUCCCUGAAAACACAACCAGCACAACUAUGCAGGUGGUCUAUGGAAGCAUCGGUUAGUCCAUUAUAAAAUAUAUCAAGUAUUUCAUUUUUCUUGAGAGGAUGAUCAGGCAAAGCAUUAAGUAAUUGGAGAAGCCUCCCCCAAGCUUGUGGGAGACUCUCUUCUUCAAUUUGCACAAAAUUAUAUAUUUCCCUUAGAGUAGCUUGUUUCUUAUGAGCAGGGAAAUAUUUAGCAGAGAAGUAAUAAAUCAUAUCCCUGGGACUACGCACACAACCAGGAUCAAGAGAAUUAAACCAUAUCUUAGCAUCACCCUUUAAUGAGAACUGAAAUAAUUUAAGGAUAUAAUAGCAGCGAGUUUUCUCAUCAUUAGUGAAUAGGGUGGCUAUAUCAUUUAAUUUAGUAAGAUGUGCCACAACAGUUUCAGAUUCAUAGCCAUAGAAAGGAUCAGAUUCAACUAAAGUAAUUAUCUCAGUAUCAACAGAGAAAUCAUAAUCCUUGUCAGUAACAAAAAUAGGUGAAGUACCAUAAGCAGGGUCAUAUUUCAUUCUAGCAUUCAGAGUUUUUUCUUUCAGCUUAGCUAAUAAUUUCAUAAGAUCACUCCUAUCAUUGCAAGCAAGAAAGUCUGAAGCAGUUUCUUCAUCCAUAACAUAACCCUCAGGCACAACAGGCAUUUCAUAUCUAGGGGGCGAAUCUUCAUCAUCACUUUCAUCAAUAUUAUCAGUUUCAAUAAUUUCAUUCUCUCUAGCCCUAGCAAGUUGUUCAUCAAGAAAUUCACCUAGUGGCACAGUAGUAUAAAGCAUAGAAGUAGUUUCAUCAUAAGCAUCAUGCAUAGCAGAAGUGGCAUCAUCAAUAACAUGCGACAUAUCGAAAUUAAUAGCAGAAGCAGGUUUAGGUGUUGCAAGCUUACUCAAAAUAGUAGGUGAAUAGAGUGCAGAGCUAGAUGGCAGUUCCUUACCUCCCCUCGUAGUUGAGGGAUAAAUUUUGGUUUUCUCGUCUUUCAAGUUCCUCAUAGUGACCAGUAGAUAUAAAUCCCAAGUGACUCAAAGAAUAGAGCUAUGCUCCCCGGCAACGGCGCCAGAAAAUAGUCUUGAUAACCCACAAGUAUAGGGGAUCGCAACAGUUUUCUAGGGUAGAGUAUUCAACCCAAAUUUAUUGAUUCGACACAAGGGGAGCCAAAGAAUAUUCUCAAGUAUUUGCAGUUGAGUUGUCAAUUCAACCACACCUGGAUAACUUAGUAUCUGCAGCAAAGUAAUAUGAUAGUAACGGUAACAGUGGCAAAGGUAAUAGUGACAGCUUUGUAGUGAUUGUAACAACAGGAACGAUAAAGUAACUAAGCGAAGAACAAUAUGUGAAAAGCUCGUAGGCAUUGGAUCGGUGAUGGAGAAUUAUGCCGGAUGCGAUUAUUCAUGCAACAGUUAUAACAUAGGGUGCAAUAGAACUAGCUCCAAUUCAUCAAUGUAAUGUAGGCAUGUAUUCCGAAUAUAGUCAUACGUGCUUAAGGAAAAGAACUUGCAUGCCAUCUUUUGUCCUAUUCUCACAUGGCAGCGGGGUCCUAGUGGAAACUAAGGGAUAUUAAGGCCUCCUUUUAAUAGAGUACCGGACCAAAGAAUUAACACAUAGUGAAUACAUGAACUCCUCAAACUACGGUCAUCACGGGAAGUGGUCCCGAUUAUUGUCACUUCGGGGUUGCCGGAUCAUAACACAUAGUAGGUGACUAUAGACUUGCAAGAUAGGAUCAAGAACUCACAUAUAUUCAUGAAAACAUAAUAGGUUCAGAUCUGAAAUCAUGGCACCCGGGCCCUAGUGACAAGCGUUAAGCAUAGCAAAGUCAUAGCAACAUCAAUCUCAGAACAUAGUGGAUACUAGGGAUCAAACCCUAACAAAACUAACUCGAUUACAUGAUUAAUCUCAUCCAACCCAUCACCGUCCAGCAAGNNNNNNNNNNNNNNNNNNNNNNNNNNNNNNNNNNNNNNNNNNNNNNNNNNNNNNNNNNNNNNNNNNNNNNNNNNNNNNNNNNNNNNNNNNNNNNNNNNNNNNNNNNNNNNNNNNNNNNNNNNNNNNNNNNNNNNNNNNNNNNNNNNNNNNNNNNNNNNNNNNNNNNNNNNNNNNNNNNNNNNNNNNNNNNNNNNNNNNNNNNNNNNNNNNNNNNNNNNNNNNNNNNNNNNNNNNNNNNNNNNNNNNNNNNNNNNNNNNNNNNNNNNNNNNNNNNNNNNNNNNNNNNNNNNNNNNNNNNNNNNNNNNNNNNNNNNNNNNNNNNNNNNNNNNNNNNNNNNNNNNNNNNNNNNNNNNNNNNNNNNNNNNNNNNNNNNNNNNNNNNNNNNNNNNNNNNNNNNNNNNNNNNNNNNNNNNNNNNNNNNNNNNNNNNNNNNNNNNNNNNNNNNNNNNNNNNNNNNNNNNNNNNNNNNNNNNNNNNNNNNNNNNNNNNNNNNNNNNNNNNNNNNNNNNNNNNNNNNNNNNNNNNNNNNNNNNNNNNNNNNNNNNNNNNNNNNNNNNNNNNNNNNNNNNNNNNNNNNNNNNNNNNNNNNNNNNNNNNNNNNNNNNNNNNNNNNNNNNNNNNNNNNNNNNNNNNNNNNNNNNNNNNNNNNNNNNNNNNNNNNNNNNNNNNNNNNNNNNNNNNNNNNNNNNNNNNNNNNNNNNNNNNNNNNNNNNNNNNNNNNNNNNNNNNNNNNNNNNNNNNNNNNNNNNNNNNNNNNNNNNNNNNNNNNNNNNNNNNNNNNNNNNNNNNNNNNNNNNNNNNNNNNNNNNNNNNNNNNNNNNNNNNNNNNNNNNNNNNNNNNNNNNNNNNNNNNNNNNNNNNNNNNNNNNNNNNNNNNNNNNNNNNNNNNNNNNNNNNNNNNNNNNNNNNNNNNNNNNNNNNNNNNNNNNNNNNNNNNNNNNNNNNNNNNNNNNNNNNNNNNNNNNNNNNNNNNNNNNNNNNNNNNNNNNNNNNNNNNNNNNNNNNNNNNNNNNNNNNNNNNNNNNNNNNNNNNNNNNNNNNNNNNNNNNNNNNNNNNNNNNNNNNNNNNNNNNNNNNNNNNNNNNNNNNNNNNNNNNNNNNNNNNNNNNNNNNNNNNNNNNNNNNNNNNNNNNNNNNNNNNNNNNNNNNNNNNNNNNNNNNNNNNNNNNNNNNNNNNNNNNNNNNNNNNNNNNNNNNNNNNNNNNNNNNNNNNNNNNNNNNNNNNNNNNNNNNNNNNNNNNNNNNNNNNNNNNNNNNNNNNNNNNNNNNNNNNNNNNNNNNNNNNNNNNNNNNNNNNNNNNNNNNNNNNNNNNNNNNNNNNNNNNNNNNNNNNNNNNNNNNNNNNNNNNNNNNNNNNNNNNNNNNNNNNNNNNNNNNNNNNNNNNNNNNNNNNNNNNNNNNNNNNNNNNNNNNNNNNNNNNNNNNNNNNNNNNNNNNNNNNNNNNNNNNNNNNNNNNNNNNNNNNNNNNNNNNNNNNNNNNNNNNNNNNNNNNNNNNNNNNNNNNNNNNNNNNNNNNNNNNNNNNNNNNNNNNNNNNNNNNNNNNNNNNNNNNNNNNNNNNNNNNNNNNNNNNNNNNNNNNNNNNNNNNNNNNNNNNNNNNNNNNNNNNNNNNNNNNNNNNNNNNNNNNNNNNNNNNNNNNNNNNNNNNNNNNNNNNNNNNNNNNNNNNNNNNNNNNNNNNNNNNNNNNNNNNNNNNNNNNNNNNNNNNNNNNNNNNNNNNNNNNNNNNNNNNNNNNNNCUUGCUGGACGGUGAUGGGUUGGAUGAGAUUAAUCAUGUAAUCGAGUUAGUUUUGUUAGGGUUUGAUCCCUAGUAUCCACUAUGUUCUGAGAUUGAUGUUGCUAUGACUUUGCUAUGCUUAACGCUUGUCACUAGGGCCCGGGUGCCAUGAUUUCAGAUCUGAACCUAUUAUGUUUUCAUGAAUAUAUGUGAGUUCUUGAUCCUAUCUUGCAAGUCUAUAGUCACCUACUAUGUGUUAUGAUCCGGCAACCCCGAAGUGACAAUAAUCGGGACCACUGCCGGUGAUGACCGUAGUUUGAUGAGUUCAUGUAUGCACUAUGUGUUAAUGCUUUGGUCCGGUACUCUAUUAAAAGGAGGCCUUAAUAUCCCUUAGUUUCCAUUAGGACCCCGCUCCACGGGAGGGUAGGACAAAAGAUGUCAAGCAAGUUCUUUUCCAUAAGCAUGUAUGACUAUAUUCGGAAUACAUGCCUACAUUUCAUUGAUGAAUUGGAGCUAGUUCUGUGUCACCCUAUGUUAUGAUUGUUACAUGAUGAACCGCAUCCGGCAUAAUUCUCCACCACCGAUCCAAUGCCUAUGAGCUUUUCACAUGUUGUUCUUCGCUUAUUUACUUUUCCGUUGCUACUGUUACAAUCACUACAAAACCCGAAAAUAUUACUUUUGCUACCGUUACCGUUACUUCCAUAUUACUUUGCUACUAAAUACUUUGCUGCAGAUACUAAGUUAUCCAGGUGUGGUUGAAUUGACAACUCAACUGCUAAUACUUGAGAAUAUUCUUUGGCUCCUCUUGUGUCGAAUCAAUAAAUUUGGGUUGUAUACUCUACCCUCGAAAACUGUUGCGAUCCCCUAUACUUGUGGGUUAUCAAGACUAUUUUCUAGCGCCGUUGCCGGGGAGCAUAGCUCUAUUCUUUGAGUCACUUGGGAUUUAUAUCUGCUGGUCACUAUGAAGAACUUGAAAGACGCGAAAACAAAAGUUUAUCCCUCAACUACGAGGGGAGGUAAGGAACUGCCAUCUAGCUCUGGACUUGAUUCACCUUCUGUUUUGAGUAAUCUUGCGACACCUAAACCUGCUUCUGCUAUUAAUUUUGAUAUGUCGCAUGUUAUUGAUGAUGCCACUUCUGCUAUGCAUGAUACUUAUGAUGAAACUACUUCUAUGCUUGAUACUACUGUGCCACUUGGUGAAUUUCUUGAUGAACAACUUACUAGGGAUAGAGAGAAUGAAAUUAUUGAAACUGAUAAUAUUGAAGAUAGUGAUGAUGAAGACUCUCCCCUAAUAAAUAUGAAUUGCCUGUUGUGCCUGAGGGUUAUGUUCUGGAUGAAGAAUCUGCUAGAGCCAUUCUUGCUUGCAAUGAUAGAAGUGACCUUAUGAAAUUAUUAGCUAAAUGGAAGCAACAAUCUCUUAAUGCUAGAAUGAAACCUAACCCUGCUUUUGGUACUUCACCUAUCUAUGUUACUGAUAAGGAUUAUGAAUUCUCUGUUGAUCCUGAUAUAAUUACUUUGGUUGAAUCUGAUCCUUUUUAUGGCUAUGAAUCUGAAACUGUUGUGGCACAUCUUACUAAAUUAAAUGAUAUAGCCACCCUAUUCACUAACGAUGAGAGAGCUCGUUACUUUUAUAUCCUUAAAAUAUUUCCGUUCUCAUUAAAGGGUGAUGCUAAGACAUGGUUUAAUUCUGUUGAUCCUGGUUGUGUGCGUAGUCCCCAGGAUAUGAUUUAUUACUUCUCUGCUAAAUAUUUCCCUGCUCAUAAGAAACAAGCUGCUUUAAGGGAUAUAUAUAAUUUUGUGCAAAUUGAAGAAGAGAGUCUCCCACAAGCUUGGGGGAGGCUUCUCCAAUUACUUAAUGCUUUGCCUGAUCAUCCUCUUAAGAAAAAUGAAAUACUUGAUAUCUUUUAUAAUGGACUAACCGAUGCUUCCAGAGAUUACCUGUAUAGUUGUGCUGGUUCUGUUUUCCCGGAAAGAACACCGUAUGAAGCUGAAAUUCUAUUGAAUAAUAUGUUGACCAAUGAAAAUUAUUGGACACUUCCUGAGCCAACUCCUGAACCUAUUCCUAAACCAACUUCGAAGAAAAGAGGUGUUCUAUUUCUCAGUCCUGAAGAUAUGCAAGAGGCAAAGAAAUCUAUGAAAGAAAAGGGUAUUAAGGCUGAAGAUGUUAAGAAUUUGCCUCCUAUUGAAGAAAUACAUGGUCUUAAUUUACUGCCUGUUGAAGAAACAUAUGAUCUUAAUCCUUCACCUAUUGAAGAAACUCAUGCUCUUGAUAACCCGACACAGGUAGUAAAGGUAAAUUCUCUCUAUAGAUAUGAUAAAGCUGAAAUCCCUCCUACUAAGUUUGCUAGCCAAUGUUUGGAUGAAUUUGAUAACUUUAUGGUUAAGCAAGAAGACUUCAAUGCUUAUUUUGGUAGACAAUUAAAACAAAAUGCUUAUAUGAUUGAACACUUGGGUGACUAUAUGUCUAGAGUUAAAGGUGAACUUAAACUCAUUAGUAAACAUGCUUCUAUGGUUACCACUCAAGUAGAACAAAUACUUAAAGCUCAGAAUGAUUUGCUCAAUGAAUUGAAUAGUAAGAAUAAUGGCUAUGCGGUUAGAGUGGCUACUAGAACUGGUAAAAUGACUCAGGAACCUUUGUAUCCUGAAGGCCAUCCUAAGAGAAUUGAGCAAGAUUCUCAGAGAAAUAAUAUAGAUGCACCUAGUCCUUCUAAAAAUAAGAAAAAGAAAAAUGAUAGGACUUUGCAUGCUUCUAGUGAACCUAUUGUUGAAAUACCUGAGAAUCCAAAUGAUAUUUCUAUUUCUGAUGCUGAAACAGAAUCUGGUAAUGAACAUGAACCAAGUGAAAAUAUUAAUAAAGAUGUUCAUGAUGAUGCUCAACCUAGGAAUGAUAUGAUGUAGAGAUUGAACCUGCUGUUGAUCUGGAUAACACACAAUCAAAGAAUCAACGUUAUGAUAAAAGAGACUUUGUUGCUAGGAAACAUGGUAAAGAAAGAGAACCAUGGGUUCAGAAACCCAUUCCUUUUCCUCCCAAACCAUCCAAGAAAAAGGAUGAUGAGGAUUUUGAGCGCUUUGCUGAAAUGAUUAGACCUAUCUUUUUGCGUAUUCGAUUAACUAAUAUGCUCAAAAUGAAUCCUUAUGCUAAAUAUAUGAAAGAAAUUGUUACAAAUAAAAGAAAGAUACCGGAAGCUGAAAUUUCCACCAUGCUUGCUAAUUACACUUUUAAGGGUGGAAUACCAAAAAACUAGGAGAUCCAGGAGUACCAACUAUACCAUGCUCCAUUAAAAGAAACUAUGUCAAAACUGCUUUAUGUGAUCUUGGAGCCAGUGUUAAUGUUAUGCCUCUCUCUUUAUAUCGUAGACUUGAUUUGAAUAAGUUGACACCUACUGAAAUAUCUUUGCAAAUGGCUGAUAAAUCAACUGCUAUACCUGUCGGUAUUUGUGAGGAUGUGCCUGUUGUGGUUGCAAACGUUACUAUUUUAACGGACUUUGUUAUUCUUGAUAUUCCCGAGGACGAUAGUAUGUCUAUUAUUCUUGGAAGACCCUUUUUGAAUACUGCAGCGGCUGUUAUUGAUUGCAACAAAGGCAAUGUCACUUUUCAUGUUAAUGGUAAUGAGCACACGGUACACUUUCCGAGGAAACAACCUGAAGUCCACAGUAUCAAUUUUAUUGGAAAAAUUCCAUCAAUUAUUUUUGGAGGUUUUGAAUUUCCUCUUCCUACUGUCAAGAAGAAAUAUGAUAUUCUUAUUAUUGGGGAUGUGCAUAUCCCCGUUGAGGUAACAUAGUGUUAUUCGAAAUUUCUCCGGUUCCAUGUUAUUCGGAAUGAGUUUGUUAACAAGACUUGAUCAACCUUGUUAGUGGAUUCCUUUUGAUGAGCAUGAGAUGGGUGAAGUUAGAAAGCACAACCUUCUGUACCCUCUCUCUACUUUCUGUUAUUUAGUUGAAAUAAAGUAAAAAUAGUAUUUUCUUGUCUGUUUUCUGAAUUAUCCAUGCAAUAUAAAAAUACCACGAAAAUAAAAGUUCACCAAAUGCCUUCCAAUUUAAUAUGAUUUUUUCUGGAAUAUUUGAGAAUAUCUGGCAGUGAGAACACAGUAGGGGAGCAAGCACCUGGCCACGAGGGCCCAGGGCACGCCCCCUGCCUCGUGGGCCCAUGGUGGCUCCCCUCCACUUAUUCCUGCACCCACACACUUCUUCUUCCUCCAAAAAAAAAUCAACAUCCAGCUCAAGAACGAGUUCUAGCUCAUUUUGCUGCGAUUUUCGAUCUCCUUGCUCAAAGCACCUCUCACAAAACUGCUUUAGGGGAUUGUUCCUUGGUAUGUGACUCCUCCAUUGGUCCAAUUAGUUUUUGUUCUAGUGCUUUAUUCAUUGCAAAUUUGUGCUACCUAGGUGACCAUGUUCUUGAGCUUGCAUGUCAAAUUUAUAUGGUUCCAAGUAGUUCUAAUGCAUGAUAUAGGCCCUAGGCACUUGUAGGAGUAGUUUCUAUCAAUUUUGUUGAGCUUGAUUCACCAUCAGGUUGUCGAGAGGAAUGAACCACCUCUCCAGUAUAGACUAAUCUUUGACAAGCGUCACGCCGUCACUAUUGUUCUUCCUGCCCCUACUCUCUUUGACUUUCAAGAAAAAGGGAGACAUUAUAUAACCAGAGAGGAGACGGAGGAGUAUAGGAGGAGGGCUGAGAUAGCUCGCCUCCAAGAUGCAGCACACGAUGCAACGACCGAUGCAUCUCAGUACGACCCCAACUAUAACUUUCGAUAUCCGCCAGGCCAUCCGUGGCAAUAAACCAACUUAGGCCAAAAGCCUAAGCUUGGGGGAUUACGUAUUUCCCACCGACAUUACAUCUAUGUUCACACACUCAUUGCUAGAUGUCGGUGCUCAUACUUUUUCACUGUAAUAUCCAUGCUAGUUUAUUUUAUUUUUCUUGCUUUCUUCUUGUGUGUUUGAUAAACCUUAAGAAAAACAAAAAAAUUAGUGUAGCUUUUAGUUAGUUUACUUUUCUUGCUGUAGUAGUAAUAAUUAAAAACAAAACCCCAAAAAGAUUUCCCGUUCUUCUUUUGCUUGUUGGGAGCUUUCCCGUGUAAAUAGUUUUAUUUUCUUUCCUUUUCUUUGGGGGUCGAUAUGAGAAGACCAUGAUUAAAUUGUUGAAGUGGCUCGUAUAUGCAUUAUUGUUGAUUUAACCAAGAGCCCAUAUUGCCUUGUCUUCUCCUGUUUAUUGAAUGCUCGCAGAUUCCAGCUUAGUCCAAUGCACGUGCACUC
This 45674-nucleotide long non-coding RNA is filed under the name Triticum aestivum (bread wheat). RNAcentral describes it as "long non-coding RNA (TAES_LNC024835)". Lineage: Eukaryota; Viridiplantae; Streptophyta; Magnoliopsida; Poales; Poaceae. The record is from RNAcentral.